CCACCUUGUUUCACAGACCAGGAAAAAAUUGUCUAAUUAUGCAAAAGGUCAUCGACACGGUUGACUGAAUUGAAGUCCCAAAGUAAUUCUUGAUCAUUGCAUAGACCAACCAAACCUGUCAUAGAAGCAGCACAAGUUUACCUUGCUUGAUAAUAUUUCAAAACAAUAGUAUGACUACUGGUAAUGUUAAGGGGGUCUACAUUCAUAUAUGAGAGACUAGCCAAAACAACUUUCAACAUUUUCUUUGUCACCAAACAAAAACACUUGAACCUUGAAUUUUAUUUUAUCUCAGUUCAUCAUAUUCCAAGAAGCGAUGCUCUUCUUAUAAGGUUAAUGAGGGACAUCAAGAGAACAAUAAGAAACUUGACGGGGGUUUCGUUCAUCACAUAAAAUCAAAAGGCGUUUGUCCCAAACAGGAUAUCUGUCAUUAAUCAAAUUUGACAUACAAAAGAACUUACAAAGGAACUCAAAAUGGCCAAGGAUUUUUUUCAAAGAAAAUAUGAACAUUGGACAUUGGGAAAUUCUGGGUGUAGUAUACAAUAACGAGUAGUAGAAGUUCAUCAGCCUCUAGAUGAAAAUUUCAAAUCCCACCUUUUUCGAUAAGGGAAAUGUUAAUUAUAUGUUUGCAGUCUACAGAAGCUAGCAACAGAAGAAUAAACAAAAAACAUUGCUAUAAUGUAAUCAACAACAAUUAUAGAGAGGCAAAUCCGGAGUUUCCAAAAUCAAUCAAAUAGAUACCCAUUGUACAGCAAAUCAUUCUAAAAAUUUCUCUUUUUGCUCAUGCCGGCAUUUCAAGGAUGAAGAAUCUUACUAUGCCUUCUAUUGGGUUUACAUUUUGAUCUUGGCUGAAGCAUCACGUCAGCUUUUGGCCAACUCCCCCACUCCUUCAAUUAUGUAAGACUUGCAAUUUAGACCCCGUCAUGGAAAGCUUUCUUGUCAGAAGAAGAUGGUGAUGUAAAGUUGGUCAUGGAUCUCAGAAGAAAAAUGAUUAUUCAUUGCUUAUUUACCUUUGUUGAAGAAACAUUACUCCUCUCACGUUGUAAUAAGGUGUAAGAUUUAUUACAUCAUUAUCAUCGCGAGAUAAUGUUUCCAAAGAGAACUAAAACUUUAACCAAGGACGUAGUUCAUAAUUUCUAUUGACGCGCGUUCUAGAUAAGUUAGGUAUUGCUUCCAAUGAGUCACAACCAGAAAUAUCCAAAUAAGUUAAAUUCAACAAUUCAAGUCCUCGAAGCUGAGCAAGUUUCUUGCAGUCUCGAACUAUUAGAUAUCGUAGCUUCUUAAAUCCUGUCAAAUUUGGCAAAGCCUCCAUUAAUUUGCAUCCUGUAAGAUCUAACACUUCUAAGAACUUCGCACGGUCAAGACCUUGAAUUUCAACUAGGUUGCCACACCCAGAAGCCUCGAAUGUCUUCAAACGCUUGCAUUCAUAUAAAAAUAAUUUAGGUAUUGCUUCCAAUGAGUCACAACCAGAAAUAUCCAAAUAAGUUAAAUUCAACAUUUCAAGUCCCCGAAGCUGAGCAAGUUUCUUGCAGUCUCGAACUAUUAGAAAUCGUAGCUUCUCAAGUCCUGUCAAAUCUGGCAAAGCCUCCAUUGAUUUGUAUCCUGUAAGAUCCAACACUUCUAAGUCAACUAGAUUGCCGUACCCAGAAGCUGCGAAUGUCUUCAACCACUUGCAUUCAUCUAAAAAUAAUUUAGGUAUUGCUUCUAAUGAAUCACAACCAGAAAUAUCCAAAUAAGUUAAAUUCAACAUUUCAAGUCCCUGAAGCUGAGCAAGUUUCUUGCAGUCUCGAACUAUUAGAAAUCGUAGCUUCUCAAAUCCUGUCAAAUCUGGCAAAGUCUCCAUUGAUUUGCAUCCUGUAAGAUCCAACACUUCUAAGAACUUCGCAUCGUCAAGACCUUGAAUUUCAACUAGAUUGCCGCACCUAGAAGCCUUGAAUGUCUUCAAACGCUUGCAUUCAUAUAAAAAUAAUUUAGGUAUUGCUUCCAAUGAGUCACAACCAGAAAUAUCCAAAUAAGUUAAAUUCAACAUUUUAAGUCCCCGAAGCUGAGUAAGUUUCUUGCAGUCUCGAACUAUUAGAGAUCGUAAUUUCUCACAUCCCGUCAAAUCUGGCAAAGUCUCCAUUGAUUUGAAUCCUGUAAGAUACAACUUUUCUAAGAACUUCGCACCGUUAAGACAUUGAAUUUCAACUAAAUUGCCGUACCCAGAAGCCUUGAAUGUCUUCAAACGCUUGCAUUCAUAUAAAAAUAAUUUAGGUAUUGCUUCCAAUGAGUCACAACCAGAAGUAUCCAAAUAAGUUAAAUUCAACAUUUUAAGUCCUCGAAGCUGAGUAAGUUUCUUGCAGUCUCGAACUAUUAAAGAUCGUAAUUUCUCACAUCCUGUCAAAUAUGGCAAAGUCUCCAUUGAUUUGCAUCCUGUAAGAUACAACUCUUCUAAGAACUUCGCACGGUCAAGACCUUGAAUUUCAACUAAAUUGCCGUACCCAGAAGCCUCGAAUGUCUUCAAACGCUUGCAUUCAUAAAAAAAUAAUUUAGGUAUUGCUUGCAAUGAGUCACAACCAGAAAUAUCCAUAUAAGUUAAAUUCAACAUUUCAAGUCCCCCAAGCUGAGCAAGUUUCUUGCAAUCUUGAACUCUUAGAGAUCGUAAUUUCUCACAUCCCGUCAAAUCUGGCAAAGUCUCCAUUGAUUUGCAUUCUGUAAAAUCCAACUCUUCUAAGGACUUCACACUGUCAAGACCUUGAAUUUCAAUUAGAUUGCCGCACCCAGAAGCCUUGAAUUUCUUCAAACACUUGCAAAAAUAUAAAAAUAUGACCUCCAAGGACUCCAAAUUAUCACAGCCCUUAAUUUCAACUAGGCUAUCGCAAUGCUCAAUGCGUAAUCGUUUUAGAUGAAUAAAUCCUGAAAGGCCUAAUGUUUUAAUGGAACUGCACUUUUUUAUUGAAAGCUCUUCCAAGUGCGUGAGUCCACUAAGCGAAAGUGAUGUCAACUUAUCCCACUCCUCAAAACAGAGUUUCAAUGUUAUUGAGGAAAGCUCGCGGAUGUCUUCAAGUAAAUGGCGUACCUCAAGAUCGAGUUUUUCUAAGUGGAUGAGGCGAAGGAGCUGUGGUAGUCCAAGACUCUGACAAGUAACCGACAGACAUGUUAAUCCCGAAGGAAGCUCUGGCAGCGACCAGAGCUUGUAACAGCCCCUUAGGUCAAGGCUUUGGAGAGAAGAAGGAAGCUUUGGCAGCAACAGGAGCUCCUUACAGCCCCUUAGGUCAAGGCUUUGGAGAGAAGAAGGAAGCUUUGGCAGCGACCGGAGCUCCUUACAGCCCCUUAGGUCAAGGCUUUGGAGAGAAGAAGGAAGCUCUGGCAGCGAUCGGAGCUCCUUACAGUCCCAUAGGUCAAGGCUUUGGAGAGAAGAAGGAAGCUCUGGCAGUGACCGGAGCUCCUUACAGUCCCAUAGGUCAAGGCUUUGGAGAGAAGAAGGAAGCUCUGGCAACGACCGGAGCUCCUUACAGCCCCUUAGGUCAAGGCUUUGGAGAGAAGAAAGAAGCUCUGGCAGCGACCGGAGCUCCUUACACUCCCAUAGGUCAAGGCUUUGGAGAGAAGAAGGAAGCUCUUGCAGCAACCGGAGCUCCUUACAGCCCCUUAGGUCAAGGCUUUGGAGAGAAGAAGGAAGCUCUGGCAGCGACCGGAGCUCCUUACAGCCCCUUAGGUCAAGGCUUUGGAGAGAAUAAGGAAGCUCUGGCAGCAAUCGGAGCUCCUUACAGUCCCAUAGGUCAAGGCUUUGGAGAGAAGAAAGAUUCCGGACACUUUUUGGCAGGUCAGAUAUCCGUGUGCAACCGAUAUCGAGACCCUUGAGGGAAGGCAAGUCACCGACUUCACUUGGAAUUGCCCCUUUCAGACUACUGCAACCUAAGAGACAUAGAAACUGCAGAUUUUUCAACCCUCCAAUAGCACUGGGAAGCUUUUCGAUCACAGUUUCUUGCAAGUGAAGGUCUUGCAAAUUCUGUAAAUCCCCAAUUGAGCUGGGGAUUUCUCUCAGUGACUUACAUUUGUAGGCACUCAGUGUCUUCAAUUUACUCAAAGAACCAAUAGACGAAGGAAUUGCUGUAAUACCAGAUUCAUGUAAAAGAAGUUCUUCUAAAUCUUUUAAUCCACCCACCUCCUCUGGUAGCUCCUUGAGAUCUAUACAGCAACUCAAGUCCAAGGUAACGAGGCUUGUGAGUUCGCCAAUAGAAGGGUGGAGAUGCUCCAAUCCAUAACAAUGGCUCAAUAGGAGAAUUUUCAACUGCGUGAAAGUUGAGAGUUCAGGAGUACAUCUUAAAUUAUGACAACCUUGAAUGGCAAGAACUUUAAGCUGCUUUGAUGCCUAAUAAAAAAGGAGAAUAAUCCGUCAAAUGAGUUGAUUGGCUAAACAAAAAACAAACCUCAAGAUCGCAGAGAGGAUGUAUUCUUUUCCCAAUCUUACCAUAAAUGAAUUCCAUCCUUCCCAAUCCUCUGUGAUUCUUACCCAAUUCUCUUCACUCUCCCACCAUAAGUCUAGCACCGAUAAUUUUGGCAAAUGCAAGUUGAUUGUCGAAAGAGACGCAUCGUUUCCAGGAUUGAUCCACUCAAACCAUCUCACUUCAAAAAACUUGGAAUCUCCACUAGAAGCUGCCCCAAAAAGUUGUGGAACCAGGGGCGUCUCUGCAAGUUUUUUCACUUUUUAGUUUUUGCUUUUUUUAAAUCUUGAAUUUGCACAAUUACCUUUUUAUCCUUCCCCUAUACAUGUAUGGAUAUGUAAACUCACAUUUUUUUAAAAAAAAAAAUUUAUGACCUUUUGAAAGUUAAACAAAUGACGCAAAGAUAACGAAAAAAAUAAUUAUUGCUUUAAAACAACUGAGGCAAAUGCACCUCAAUGUUUUAUCUCUUGCUUCUUCUUAUUUUUCAAAAUUUUGCAGCGCAUGGAUUUUCACUUUCAUUUAAGAAGAAAUACAUAAAACCAGUUUACAACGUACAAAUGUUUACUUGUAAAUUUUUAAAUGACUUAUGUAUAAUUUUUUAAAAGAAUUUGCUAAAGAGUGUCGACGGGCCACCUGUAAUUAGCUAAGGAAGCACCCUAUUUUCAUUUCAUUAGUUAAAUGUAAUAAUGUGGAAGAGAAAAGAAAAGGGGAAUUUUUAAUAUAUUCAGAUAUAUAGAAAAGUUUAUGUGGAGGGAAAUUAAAAGAAAUCAAAUAUGAUAUGCAUUAUCAAAAUAGAUAUAGAAAAUUAAAAGAAAUAUCCUUAUCUCUAGAAGGUAUCUAAAUAUCUUUAACGUCAUUAACUAUUUGCGUGGAGUGUUUACUCAUUUCUUUGACAAUCGAAACGUUUGUUUUUUUUUUUUUUGGGUAAAACUUUUUUUAAAAAGUGACGUGGUGACAUUGGUUAGCAGUUUUGACCAGGAUUGAAAAAAAAAAUAAUAAUAAGUCGCUUUUAGAAUAACUAGAAAAUGAACCAAUUAACUAAAAAGUGCCGUGGUAACAUUGUUUAAUCAUCACAUGUCGGUUCCAUAAGAAUGGCAUCGUUUCUUUUUCCAUCUUAUAAAUCAAAAAACAUACUGUUUAACUCCCUGCUAAAACAGAUCAUUUAAUUCCCUUAUGGCUUUAUUUGACUUUUAUAAUAAUACCUUUAUUUUCCCCCCAAAAGUUUAAUUGGCUAGAAAUUCACUUUUAUGGUUAGACACAUUUGUCGUUAUAUCUGCUUUAAAUAUUAACCAGUGAAAUGCAAUGGGUAUAAAUUCUCUUAAGUCUGUUUGUCUGAAAAGUAGCUAAAUUGUUGUAAUCAUAUCCCACACUAUCUUUAAUAAUUUUCGCUUGUAUAUCGAUCUAUACUAUGUAUUACAUAAAUAUAUAUAUAUAUAUAUAUAUAUAUAUAUAUAUGUACUGUAUGGAAAGGAGAUUUCAAUCCUCAAACUUUCAUCAAAAGUUUCCACACAAUUCGCAUAUAUCUCACCAAAAUGAACUAAAGAAAUAGGAUAUAACAAAAUAGGCAUAAUCAUAUUUGAAAUAGUCAAGACAAUUGGAAAUUAGUCCCACAAGCAAUUCAAUUUCCAAAAUUAAAUCAAAAUCUCUCAAAUCGUACAAUCAUUUCAUUUUUCUUCGACACUAUUUAUCAUCUUUCAGCAUUUUUGUCCAUUCAAAACAGAAUUGACCUUUCUUUUUCAUUGUUCCAAACACCUGUAUGGUGUGGUUUUUUUUGCUAAUGCUAAGAAGUUAUUGGAUCAACAAAAGAGUGUGAUAUUAAAUCAUAGGAACGAACUAUUUGAAAUUAUAUCAAGAAUAUAAGGCUGCUUUGUUUGCCCAACAUCCCUUGGUCAAUUUCUAGGGUUAAUUCCUUGCCGUUGAUCAGCCAUGAAACUGUAAAGCUUUUCAAAUGGACAAUAUAUAAUAAAAUGACAUGAACAUUGACAAUUUAAGUUAAAGAUAAAACAUAGUUGAAACAAUUUGCUUCAUGCUGAAAAUCAUAUAUAAUGAAUACAAGGUUAUGGAUAUAAUAGUAAGCAUGACAUUUCCUCCGAUUAGUCAAGUUUUCAUUUUUUAUCUUCAAAAUAGUCAAGUUAGUCUAGCNNNNNNNNNNNNNNNNNNNNNNNNNNNNNNNNNNNNNNNNNNNNNNNNNNNNNNNNNNNNNNNNNNNNNNNNNNNNNNNNNNNNNNNNNNNNNNNNNNNNNNNNNNNNNNNNNNNNNNNNNNNNNNNNNNNNNNNNNNNNNNNNNNNNNNNNNNNNNNNNNNNNNNNNNNNNNNNNNNNNNNNNNNNNNNNNNNNNNNNNNNNNNNNNNNNNNNNNNNNNNNNNNNNNNNNNNNNNNNNNNNNNNNNNNNNNNNNNNNNNNNNNNNNNNNNNNNNNNNNNNNNNNNNNNNNNNNNNNNNNNNNNNNNNNNNNNNNNNNNNNNNNNNNNNNNNNNNNNNNNNNNNNNNNNNNNNNNNNNNNNCAUCUUAUUGCUUUGGGUUAUUUAUCGGUUAUUAUACUAUCUCCUUCUUUUUUUUCUUAACCAGGAAAUCUUCAUUUAUUUGAUCUAUGAUGUUUAUUCUUCGUCUUCAUUCAUAAUUAUAGUCCUUCUAAUUAUCAAUAUUUUCAAGACAAUUGCAUGCUUUAAGUAAAUGAGAUUUCUAGUCUAAAAUUGUAGUUAAAGGAUUUUGAAUUGAUUGCCAAACAAAUUUUUACAUAUGUAAUUUACAUCGAUGAAAUUGAAUCAAUGAUAUAACUUUUUCAUCCUUGAGAUACUUAUGAUUUAUUUAGUGUCACAAUUAAUCUACGAUGUACAUAAAUGGAUGUUUAAAUAGAUUUUUUUUCCUAGAAAGUAAGAGCAUCUUUUCAUGCUCAAUGAUUUAGUAGAAUAGAUCGGAUUAAGAGGGAGAGAAAAAAAAAAAAGAAUGCCAUAUUUUACCUCUGGAUGUCUUACUACUCUUGGGACUCCCUCAUAGUCAUCAUCCCAUGGUCCAUUACAUUUCUCAAGCAGUUGUCCUCGGCAAAAAAUGCUCCAAGAUCUCUUAGUUGAUCAUGCACCAUAAAUUCACCAUGAUCUCCAAUUUUAAUUAAGCACCUCAACUUCAACUCUUCAAUUCCUUGAUUUGGAGAAAACCCAAGGUCCUCCCACAUGUAUAUGGCAAAUCGUGCAAAUUGGCCAUCGCCAUGUACGCCAAUAAAGAAACAAACAAUAUCGAGAAAAAUCUGCUUAUGUUCAUCUUCUAAUGCAUCAUAACUUAUUUGCAAUAUUUUUUGGACAUCUCUAUGUGGUUGGCUUUUUAAUUGUUUCCGCACAUCUUCCCAUACUUUUCGAUUCGGUUUUUUAUACAAGUAUGAACCUACGACCUUAAGUGCCAAGGGAAGCCCACCCAUGGUGGAUACAAUAUCACGAGAUAGACCCUCAAAGUCCUUCGAAGAAUGGUCCAUGUAAAAUGCAUGUCUAUUAAACAAAAGCAAAGCAUGCUCCCAAUCCAAUUCAUUCAAAUCAUACUUGUGUACAUUGAAUUUAGAUUGAUCGAGAAUGGCUUCAUAUCUGGUUGUAACAAUAAUAAUACUUCCUGCCAUAAACCAAUUACGCUCUCUAGCCAAAGCAUUUAAUUGAUCCUCAUGAUCUAUAUCAUCCAGAAGAAUGAGAACAUUUUUUCCUUUGAAUCUAGAUUUGAUCAAACUAAUUCCACCAUCAACAUUCCCAAUUUGAGAUUCGAUUUGUAGAAUGUCCAUAAUUAGUUGCUUUUGUAAAUGAACAAUAUUGUUGCGGCAAGUUGUUUCUCGAAUAUCUACAAGGAAGCUAUGAUGCACAAAGUCAUUCGACAGCUGAUUAUAGAUUACCUUGGCAAGAGUCGUUUUUCCAAUCCCACCCAUGCCAUAGAUUCCAAUCAUUCGAGCAUUAGUGGCAGGAGUGUCUACCCAUUUCAUGAUUCUGUUCACAUGAUCAUCAAUUCCAACUAAGUGCUCAGUAACAUCAAGCUGAAAAUCUUGUUGCAACUUGCUCAGAACAUUUUCGAUAACUUUUUUAACUAAUUCUCCUUCAUGCCUGUCCAGCAAAAAAAACCUCAUUGAUAAUUUCGUGAUUAUACUUAAUCUCAUCAAAAGGCACCGACAGACGUGAAGAAUAGAUGGGACCAAUUAACAUGCAAGAUGUUUUGGUUUUACAAAUAACAAUGGAGGAUGAUGGCCAGCGGUCAUUUCAUUUUUUCUUCUCUCUUCUGCUAGAUGGAUCUUGUUGAAAGAAAAUAAGGCAGUGCACCUGGCUCGUUAAGAGUCUUUAGAAGCGUAAUGUUUGUUACAAGGCUUAAGAUUGCUGCUAGUUAAAUGAUAGGAGGUCAAUUUUGUUUCAAUUAAAGAAGUUUAGGAGAAAAGUAUGUUACUCCACUCUAAGGCCAGGGCAUCUCACAUACCAAAAUUGAGGACUUAUAGUCGAUUUACAAAUCGCUACCGAUGGGGUCCACUGACAAUGGAAAUCAAACCUAGACAUGGUAAAUGUGAAGUGUCCAGUCCUUUCCACCUGAGCCAACUUCCAUUCGCAUUAGGAGGUCUAUUUUAUCUGGUGGUGAUAAAGCUUUGAAAUACUGAGCAUUCGAGUCCUUUCUAAGCUUAUUGUUUGGUGAUUGACACUAUUGGCCGGAGGGGUUGUCAUUUCUUUGAUUUUUGCUUUGUUGGAGACAACUGUAAUUCAUCUGUUUCGAAUGAACAAGAAAAUUUACAGGAUAAUUACUAAAAAAAAUUAAAUUUAUUAUAAUUAUGUUAAAUCAAUCUUUAAUUUUUUUUAUAACCAAUUUAGUCCUACACAUUUUGAAAAUAUGCUAAUGUAGUCCAUCUAGUUAACUUUGGCUAGAAAUCUCUAACAUGGACACAAGUCGUUCUAUGAGAUACCGUCGAUAUUGACGUAGAGUAUUUUUAUAAUUUUUUUUAUAUUUUUUUCUGAACUUUGUUGAAUUUGCUUAUAUUUUUUGUUUUUUUCUUUCUUUCUUUCUUUUUUCCUUCUUCUUCUACGGUCAGUGGCCAUAGAUGAGGGCUGCCUCGCCAUGAGGGCUGACCUCGCCAGAAUCUGGUCCUUCUAGUGGGUCCUAUAGAGAAUCGCAAGGAGGGAGAGACCGAGAGUUUUCCCAACAAGAGAGGGCCGUCGUUGGGUCAGAUGAGGAGGUUCGCUAGCAGCCAGAACGUGCUGGCAAACUUCGACUGGACGGCGCAGGUGGCGCCGAUGGAUGCAGCGGAGCAGAGGAACUGUUACUUUGACGACAAAGACAGAGACAAAGAAGAGCGAGAUGACGACGACGGCGACGAAGUGGGGAUUCCAUUUUCGUCCCCCAUUUUUGGUAGGUGGAGUGGAGUCGAAGGCGAAGAAGGAAGUGAAUCUGCGGAAGAAAAGGACAAUGGCUCCCCCUCAACCACUUCGCUUGCGACAUCCCCAUUAAUUCUGCAAAUAUAAUCGUGUUCUCGAAUGAUUGCGUUCCUGGAUUCCCGAUUUCUGAUGUUCUUCCUUCUUUUUUUAGGGUUAUUAGUUUGUGUUGGCCUGACCUCUUUAGAAGGACCAGAUUCCGGCAAGGUUGGCCCUUGACAGGGAGGGCGAGCCUCACCAACCCUAGUAUGUGGCCUGUUGCCGGCCAUCAAGGAGGCCAGCAGCUGGAGAGAAAGAAGGGAUUUCUAGCUAAAAUCAGCCGGAAGAACUAUAUUGGUAGAUUUUCAAAAGAUUUAUGAUUAAAAUGGCUAAAUAAAAAGUCUAGAACUAAAUUUUUACUGUUAUAAUAGGUUUAAUAUGUUUUUUUUUUUUUUGGUAAUUUCCCCAAAAACUUACUUAUAGAAAAGAGAAGUUUAGGUAGAAGCUAAGUACCCGUCAGCAACUUUCCGAGACUCCCAUCCCUGUAAAUGACUCACUUUUUCGAGUGCUUCCUGCACUUUCUGGAUGUCCUCCUCACCAAAAUACUUCUUACAUGUACGAAAGGCCUUCCUACCAAAGUUUCCUCUUUUUAGAUGCCCCACAUCCGAUGGGUCCACUUUAUAAAAGAUGGGCAAAACUGUGUGUGAUGGGCUCUUCGCACGAUCCAUGAUAUGAAUAAGCUCGCGGAGGCACCAUUUGCUUGAAGCAUAAUUUUCGGAGAUGAUGAGAAUCGAAAUUUUAGACCGAGCAAUGGCAUUGAGAAUUUCUGGACCAAAUUCCUCGCCAAUUUGGAUGCUCUUAUCAUCCUUGAACACAAAAACUGGUGUAAUCCCUACCUUGACUAGACUGUGAUAGAGGUGAUCAGUGAAUCCCUUGCGGGUAUCUGACCCUCUAAAGCUCAAGAACACAUCAUAAUGAUCAUUACAUAUUCCUUCACGUAUUCCUUUGAGUGUUGGAGAGAUUUUCGAAGGUGCGGAUGCUCUCUUCUUCUUGACAAGAUAGAAUGCAAGCAUACUAAAAAGAAUCGUCGCGGCAAGCACUGCGGGCAUUAUUAAAGGGUGCAUCCCUUCGUUUGUUUCAGUGUAACUCCGCCCUUUGUCGAUGGCAAUCUGAGAGGGAAAGUUGGAGAGAAAGAUGCUCUCCUGCUGCAUAAAAAGGAUUGAUAAUUAGUCUCUAUGAAGUAUGAACAAGUAUGAACAUGAAAUCUUUUACCAAGCAAGAAAAGAUAAACAUGAAAUUAUUAAUUAAUUAUUAUUUGAUUGACUAGGAGCAGUCGCUGAUGCUUUCAAUCCUUGCUUUAUCUUCUUUUGGAUAUCAUCCUCUAGUCAAGUCAAUCUUGCCGGGUUCGGUCCCCUUACGUAUAACGCGUACAUUAAUUUCUUAAUUGGGCUAUAGAAUAAUGGAAUCUAUGUACAAGCAUAUUGCAUUCGUUCAAAAUUAUAUGUAGUGGUUCAGUUUUUAUUUGAUUAUUGAAAAUAAGAUUUUGAUAAAUCAUUUUUUGUCAAAGAAUUUGAUAAAUCAUUUAAAAGCUGAUAAUUGAGCUGAGACAAAAUUGGAAAUGUGGGGAAGGCGUGAAGAAAGGACCUAGCUAGUAAUUAUGAAUGUGAUUUUAAAUUUAAUUUGGCCAUAGAUUUCUCCUCCUGCACAGCACAAAGCCUUCCUUCUCCUUGUAAAAUAGAGAUAUAAUUUGUUAGACGGUACCAAACGGAGAAGCGGAUGCUCCCUCAGUGAUCUCUUUUUAUGCACUCUUUUUUUUCUUCAUGUUAGUCUGAACAAUUAGAAAUUAGGUACUUAUUCAAUGGAAGAAAAAGAAGAUAAAAAAAAGGUCUCCGGAUUCAAGCGAAAUAUGACAAUUAAUAGAGUCUGGCGUGCUUGCAAACCUACUCGUUCUAGUUCAAAAAGAGAUCAGUACUGAAUUACGAUACAACUAACAACAUGUAAUAAGGUCAUCAUAGGAUUAUUUACAUCUAAAGUCGAAAAUACCGAAGUCGUUAACAGGCAACAACAAUUCCAAAAGAGAGAAUAAAAGACACCCUCCUCAGCUAUUCCGCAGCCACCCCACAUCCCCAGUAGACAAAAAGGGCCCAGAAGACACUAGUUCAGACUAUUAUUUCAAUAAUAAAGCGAUGAAUCAAUAGAAACGACACGGUAGUAAGAGAUGAAAAAGUGAUUACCUUCCGCGAGCUAAGAUACGAAGAGAGGCGCGAGAAACAGCACGGUAGUAAGAGAUGGAAAAAGUGAUUACCUUCCGCGAGCUAAGAUAUGAAGAGAGGCGCGAGAUCGGUGAGAGAAGACCCUAAGCAAGCCUGGGCAGGAACUUUCAAAGGGGGAAAAAGAACAAAGAAAGCGAGUGAGGACUGACCAGUGGACGACAGUCUCAAAUUGUUCUGCGAGAGAGAGGCCGAAUGCGAAAGAUAAAGUGAGCAAUGAGAGAGAGAGAGAGAGAGAGAGAGCGGGGGGAUCAAUCAAUAGUAGACGACAGUCUUGAAUUAUUAUUGACCAAUCGGUAGACGAUAGGUUGAUUGACUGGCAGCAAUAAAAAUUCUUUUCAGAUGGCAAGCAAAGUCAAGCCACACAAUUUGGACCAGAGUACAGAAUGACCACUUCCAUUCAUAUCCACUUAAAAACCAUUUUGUUAAACAGAUAAAUGUGGCUCUAACUAGCUUAUAAAUCUUCCAUUAUAUUAUUAUCAAAGGCAUUCUUACUCCUGUAGGUGCUGCAUUUUCCUCCCACCAUAAAGAUGCAUAAAUCAUAUUGUCAAAUCCAUUGUAAGCCAAUAAUUUUCUACGCUAAAUAUACGUAAAAGUCAUGUCUUUACUGUAAGCAAUAAAAUCGCAUGAAAAGCACAUUUUAGGACAAGUUUCUCUAAUUCAAUCCACAAAGAUAAAGUCCACCUAAAAAUUGUCUACAUAAUAAAUUCGUGCGAGUGCAUUGAAACCAGCAGCUUUGCUCACUUUCAAGUUUUCCAUUGUAACCAGUACCAAAAAGAGAAAAAAAAAAAAAAAAAGGUACAAUGGUGAAUUUUUCAUAAUUGGAAAACAUUUGAAUUUUCUAUCAUUCUUCCAAAAAUAUGAAAAUCGCCAAUAUAAUGGGAAAUGGUUUUGUGUACAACCAGAAAUUAUCUAGCUGAUCUGAUAUGUUUAGAUAAAUUUUUGUUGUUGACAAUUUUGAUCGGUAACCUAUGAAAGGUUUUGUGCAUUAUUGAAGAGAAAAGACUAGCAUGAUCAAUAUUUGGAAAAAUAUCUUUAACAGUUUUCAAGAAACAAAGAAUUAUUUUUGCAAAAACCGAGUAUUUUGGAUGUUUUAGGCUUUAAGUAAUUUUGAACAAGUAGGGUAUGCAUAGGGCUAAUGGACCCAAAAUCGCGUCUAGAAGGAUAUUUUGGUAAUUUUCAUUCCCAAGGGAGUUCAAUCAACCAUUAAUGUUUAGAAAACAACACCAGGAUAAAGGCUGGCAUGCGAUUCCACUAGAUUCAAUCAGUCUUACCAUACAUAACCAAUUAGUUUAAUGGGAAGAUUGUAGUAAGGAAACUAGCAAUAUAUAUGUAAUGAUGAUUUUGGAAAAGGCGAGGGAACUUCACGAGUAAUGUUUCGUAUGCCUUAAAGGAUAUCGGGUGUUAUGCAAUGAGUAAUAAUCAAAUGUAUUUUUGUCCUAUCAAUUGUAAUAGACUAGAGAAUGAAAGUCGGGCUUACCUGGAGGAGUGAUGCAGAGAUGAAAUUCUUGUAAUGGGUUUUAGUGUUUGAGAAGAAGUUGCCUUGGACAGAUCAAGUUGUGUUUGAGUCCCGGAAGACAGUACAAUUUGAGGAUCACCUUCACGCCUCAACUUGGAGCUAUCAAUACAAAUAUAUCUCAGAAAAAAAUGAGGAUCUCAAUGAUUUAUGGUGAUUGGUGUUUCUCCUCUUCAAGCACAAGCAUUUGGGACUUUAUAUAAAGCUGUACUUCUCUUGCCCCAGAGGAGACGCGACAUCUUGUGGUGGAUGGCAUUUCUUAGAUGAGGCAACUGCACUUCUUUUGAUUCUAACCUUUUUGACCAAGACCACUAAAACAAUCCCUUCCUCGAAAUUGGCAAGACGACCCCUAUAGACUUCACUUAUUAAUUCUUUUUGUUAUUGGAUUCCACGGCCAAGCAAGUCACAGUGGAAAUUAAAUUUUUUGACACAAUGCUAGUCCUUAACAGUCACGGAAUCAUCUCCUUUUUUUGUCAAACGAAAUUAUCUCCUUUACUUGGGAACUUUUGCAAGGUGUUCGUAUUGAAAAUUACUUCUUCUCUUGUCUUGAAAAGUGAGCCCAAUGUGCUAGGGACACACACAAUCUUACCAUGGAUUUGCACGUCCUUGAUGAGAAAAUUUACUUUUUUUACUGACUAACGCUCGCCAUUUGUUAGUUCUCUUUGUAAUGGAAUCACAUGGCCGCACAAAUCAAAGUGAAGAUGGACAACAUUUUGCUUUCCCUUCCUAUUGAAAUAAAAGCCUCUCACUACUGGAGGCAUUGAAAUGGUCAAAAAUCUAUUUGUUAACUCAUAUUUAGUGACCUGACUCCUAUAUGGAUUGGCUAAAAUUGAAAGAGUAGGUUGUUAUGAAUUUAAAGUAACAAGAUUCAAUUCAAUAUAUAAUAUAUUUUAAUGAGUUUGAAUCAUGUCUAUAUGCAAUUCAUGUUAAAAAAAAAAGAAGAAUAGAAAAGUAAUGAUCUUUUCAUUUGCUUUCACAUGGCUCUUCUUAGGGGAACUCAUGCUCGAGUGUGGUAUGCCUCAACACGUGGAGCCCAUUGUAUGUGACACAACAAUUGCAUGAGAUUUUUCUUCACUUGCCCAUUGCUUUAAUCAAUGAUUGAGUGACCCGUCAUUCAUUCCCUAUUCAUUAUCGAUUGUUUAAUCUAGUGGGACUCAUGUAGAACUUAUAUGGCUCCGGUCAUUUUUAGUUUUCCAAAUGUAAUCUUUCCCACAUUAUCAUUUAGCUCCACAUCUAGACAACGACGUCAAUUAGGGCCAAUUCAGCCAAAUCUCCUAUGUACUCUUAAGGAUGUAAGGAAUUAGAUUGAUAUCGUGUGCUUAAUAUGACACACAAAAUUUUAUCUUAGGUAUUUAGGGAUCGAAGUUAUGGUGAAAAAUAAGGGAAUGAAGAAAGCUAGGAAAACUAUCAAAAAAGUCCUAAACCAAUUGCAUUUGUGUUAAUUCAGUCCUAAACCUCUAAAUUUGAUCAAUUUAGUGUUAAACCUUUUGAUAAUUUGUCAAUAUAGUCUAUCCGGCCAAUUUUGAUAGGUUUAGGUUGCUUUGGAUGGUGGUUUUGCUUGGUUAUUAGCCGCAUUGCAUCUUAAUGGGCACUUAAAUGUCAAAAAUACUCUUCAUCAGCUUAUCUCACCAUAUGAUACAACCGUCACAUGAAAUAUCUGUUAUUCUACCACAUCAUUUCUUCUCUCUCUCUCUCUCUCUCUCUCUCUCUCUCUCUCUCUCUCUCUCUCUCUCUCUCUCUCUCUCUCUCUCUCUGCCCCCACCACCGCGAAUUAAUGUCACCAUCCUAUAGUCACUUGCCCAAACAACACCAACCAUGCCCUCCACAACUUAGGCCCCAUCUCUCUCUCUCUCUCUCUCUCUCUCUCUCUCUCUGCCCCACCACCGCGAAUUAAUGUCACCAUCCUAUAGUCACUCACCCGAACUAGAGGCGUCUUGCUCAAAGCUACAACGACACUUGACUAGACCUAGCGUCGCAUUUGAGUAAUUUUGGCAUGCAUUGAGCUAGACGCAGCAUUGGAUCUCUACUAGAUCUAAUGUCGAGCCCAACACUGCAGUGGACCGUCAUUGAGGACUUAUAACUCUAGGAUAAAUAUGUUGUUGCAACAGUCAAGCGUGUCACCAAAUUGGGUCGAUGGGAUAUUUCUUUCACAUAGCAUGAUCAUGCCAGUAUAUGCAUUUUGCAAAAGAAAUCUUUAUCAUGAAAAAAAAAGGACGUUUUCAAAACUUCUAUAUCAAAUUUUCUAUGAAACCGAGUUAAUUACCUUUUAGAAAAUUGUCUAGCGAGGGAAAGCAAGUCAAAGUCUUCCACCAUCUCCCUUGCUCAAUUGCAAAGAAAGUGGUAAGGCAAAAGCUGACAAGACCUAAUCAACAUAAUUUUAUUUUUGGGGAGGGGGGGGGGGGGGGGGGGAGGACUGGCCAGAAAACCCAAAUUAAAAUCUUCCCACCUCUUUCUUGCCCGGGUGGAAAAAAAGUGAUAAGGCAAAUGCUGACAAGACCUAAAAGAAGAGAGUGAGGGUGAGGACGAGGGUGAGGGGGAGGGGGGGAGGACUAGCGAGGAAAACCAAGUCAAAGUAUUCCACCAUCGUGCUUGCUUUGCAAAGAGAGUGAUAAGACAAAAGCUUACAAGACCUAAAAGAAGAGGGGGAGGGGGGAAGGACCGGUGAGGAAAAGCAAGUCAAAGUCUUCCACCAACUUGCUUGCUUAGUUACAAAGAAAGCGAUGAGACAAAAGCUGACCAGACCUAAAAGGAAGGGGGGGGGGGAUGGACUAGUGAGGAAAAGCAAGUCAAAGUCUUCCAUCAUCUUGCUUCCUUAGUUACAAAGAAAGCGAUGAGGCAAAAGCUAACAAGACCUAAAAGAAGGGGGAAGGACUGGUGAGGAAGAGCAAAUCAAAGUCUUCCCCCAUCUUACUUGCUUAGUUGUAGAGAAAGUGAUAAGGCAAAAGCUAACAUGACCUAAAAGAAGAGAUAGAGGGAGAACUGGCAAAGAAAAGCAAAUCAAAGUCUUCCACCAUCUUGCUCACUCAAUUACAAAGAAAGUGGUAAGGCAAAAGCUGACAAGACCUACUCAAAAGAAGGAGGGGGUGGGCGAAGAAAGCAAAUCAAAGUCUUCCGCCAUCUUGCUUGCUAAACCAACAAGACCUACUCAAAAGAAAUGGGGGCAAAAAGAUUCUAGCAAUUGAAAGCAAGUCAAAGUCUUCCACCAUCUUGCUUGCUUAGUUACAUGGGGAGAACAAAGACCAUUAUUUAUGGUGAAAAUAUUGUCUAAAUUUAAUUUAUAAAUGAUGCAACGGGGCAAAUCAAUUAUGAUAUAAUAAUUGUACUGAAAUUUGUAUUUUGCGGCGAGGGCUUUGUAUAGGGUUUGCAUGGUUUCUCUUAGGUGUUUUAUUAAAAUCUAAAUGUCUGACAAUACUACAUAAAUAUGUUAUACAUCAAACUGUCCAAUUGACUCUAAACAACUUAUAUUUAUCUAAUAGCACAUGUGGUAAUAUUAUUGUUCUAUAAUUAUGCUCUUUUUUCCUUUAAAUUGACAAGAGUGAGCUAAUAUAGAUCAUGGUCCAUGAAUGUGAACUCACGAAUAUUUGAUACAUGUAAUCCUAAUGCUAGUCUGUCAUUGAGUGUUUGGCAAGAGUUGAAAUUGACAUGUGAAAGCUAUCUGUUACUUGAAUUACAUCAACAUAUCCAAAAGUAGCUACCUAAAUAAAGUUUGUCAAAUUUUCAUCAUUAUUUAAAUUCAUAAAAUCAUUUUUCCUCUGCCCUGCUUGCUUCACUUUUGCUGCUCAUGAGUUGUUUUGUUUUUGAGAUUUACAUUAGAUCCAACAUUUUUUUUUGGUCCGGAUACAAUUCAGCACAUAUAUAAGAUUAAAAAAAAAACAAUUGCUCCGUAUUAUGAGAAUGCUGUUAAAAGGAGUAACAUGUAAAAUAAGUAAGAUUUUUGCCUUCUGAUGAGGAACAUCCUUGUCGUUUUAGGGCUUAACAUGUUAACAGAUAAUGGACUGUUAAACUGAUCUGAAAAAUCCAUUGCUGGCUUUUAUUGGUCAUAAACCACAGGAAUCAAAGGUAUCUUGGUACUCUCUUAAGGGUCUUCUAGAGCAAUAGUUGGAUAAAUGGAAUAAGAUUGUAUCUUUGACUCUUCCCUCUUUCAUCAGUUGACUAAGAUGAGACAUCAGUGGCCCAAAAUGGAAAAGAACAAGAAGGAAUAACACACCCAUAAUCUUAGUACCACCAAAUAUUAAGACUUCGAAACGAGGUUAAAAAUCUUGGGUUCUAUUGCUCAAUAGACGGUAAAAAAACGCUUCAAGUGCCUUAACUUUGCACAAAAUGACACUUAAGUGCCAUAACUUACGAAAGGUGCACUUAAGUGCCUAAAUCGAAGUAAAAUGAAUCACUUGAGUGCCAAUCCAGCCAAAAUCCAGCCAAAACGCUAACGUGUCAAUUUUCCAGCAAAGCGAGUGCGAAACGGCGUCGUUUUAAUGCUGACGUGGCCAAAAAUUUAAUAUAAAAAUUAAUUUAAAUUAAUUUAAAACUAAAUUUAUUUAAAUAUUAAAAUUUUAAAAUUUUAAAAUUUUUUUAAAAAAUUAAAAUUUAAAAAAUUUAGAAAAUUUUGAAAGAUUUAGAAAAUUUUAAAAGAUUUAGAAAAUUUUAAAAAAUUAAAAAAAUUAUAAAAUUAUAAAAUUUAAAAGAAAUUUAAAAAUUUAAAAUUUAAAAAAAUUUAAAAAUUUUAGAAAUUUUUUUUUAGGAAAAGGAGGCGGGCCUAGCCAACCCUCCCCCACCUUCCGGCGAUAGCGGGGAGGCGGUAGCAUCGAGGGCUCUGCCCUCAGUCGUUGGCUGCCUUUUCUCCUCCUCCUCCUCCAUUUUUUUAAAAAUAAAUAUAAAUUAUAUUAUUGUUUUAUUUUAAAAUUUAAUUUAAUUAAUUUUCAUAUUAUAUUAAAAUUCAACUUAUACCAAAACGUUGUUUUGGCCAAUUUAAGUGCUCUAUUCUGGCCAACACCCGAAAUGAUGUUAUUUUGGUGCUGACAUGGUAAAAAAUUUUAAUAUAUAAAUUAAUUAAAUUAAAUUUAAAAAUUUUAAAAAUUAAAAAAUUUUGCAAAAUUAAAAAAAGUUACAAAAAUUUAAAAAAUAAAAUAAAAAGGGAAGCUGUUGAGGGCUGAAAAAUUUUGUAAAUUUUUUAAAUUUUUGUAAAUUUUUUGUAAAUUUUUUGUAAAUUUUGCAAAUUUUUUGUAAAUUUUAGAUUUUUUUAGCAAUUUUUUAAUUUUUUUUUUUGUAAAUUUUUUGUAAUUUUUUGUAAUUUUUUAAAGUUUCUAAAUUUUUAAAAUUUUUAAAAUUUUUUUAAAUAAAUUUAUUUUUAAAAAAAUUAUUUUAAAUUUAAUUUAAAUAAUUUUUAUAUUAUUAUAAAAUUCAAAUGAUACCAAAACGACGUCGUUUUGGCCGAAUUCGAGCUGACUCAGCUCUCCGGUGAGACACAUCAAUGAGAAAUAUUAAUAUUUUAAUGCCACGUAUGAUUUUCAAUCAGGAGAUGGCACUCAGGUGAUCCAUUUUUCUUAAAAUGUGACACUUAAGUGUCCCUUUUUGCCAAAUUAUGGCACUCCAGGGGUCCGCAUGUCCUCAAUAGACAAACGCAAAGGAUCGACGCAUGAAGAGAACAAAGAAUAUUGUUUACCUUCACCAGCCAAAAGAUUGCAAGGUCAACAGCAAAUGCAGGAAAGAAAUAGAAGAAAACCGUACAAAACCUUUUGUUACUUACAAACACAUACCAUCCUAGAAACAGUAUGCAUGCCAUCAAGGGGAAGAGCUGAAAGAUUGUCUUCAACACAAAAUAACUAUAGUCAUACCUCAUCUUUUUUAACAUGUAAAAACGACCAUUUCAUUCGGCAAAAUUUACCACCCUAGUCAUGAAGAGCAUGAUAUUCAAAAAGCACAUCACUCUCAAACGUACUUUUCAUGCACAUGGCAAGGUGCUUAUAUCAUAAAAAUUAUUGCUUAUAUCACUUAACGUAAUUAGCCAAUAAAAAAUGUUUUUAUUAUCGACAAAAAUUUAGGUCCAAACAUUUUCAUGAGUCAUAAAAGUAUCUUUUGUUCAUUUGUUAUUGUUAGCGAUUUUAGUGGAAAUGUUUGUCAAAUUCAUUUUCCACAAGACAAACACACCCGUAAUGUCAAAUAGCUUCAAUGUUUAAAACUAGGAGAGGGAAAUUUGAAACAGACGUUUUACUUUAGUUUUUGCAUGUGUGAAAAUGAGAAAACACCGUCUCUGUCUUCCGCGGUGUUGCUGGGUCAUUGGAUGUGGGAACCAAAGAAGAUUUGCGUAAAAAAUUGAAUGCAGUUCUAGCGGAUAGUUUUCAAUUUUCACCCAUACUACGACUUAACAGUGGAUUAAAUUACAAAAAAGGUAAUAAAAUCAUAGCAGCUUGACAUAUUUCAUUCCAUAUAUAUAAUUUGCAGCUUGCUUAAAUUAUAUUUAAAAGAAGGUAAUGAAGGAGGUGAUGUAUACUCAUAUUUAAAUCAAUCUCAGUUGGUUAUUUCUGUGGAAAGCAUAAAACUUCCAAAUCAUGAUCGUUAGCUAAUCAUAUUUCAUAGCGUGAGGCGAGGGAAAGCAAGUCAAAGUCAUCCUUCAUCUUGCUCGCUUCAUUGCAUUUCCCAAGUCCUCUCUUUUAACCAAAGAAAGGGACAUGACAAAUGCGGACGAAACCUACUCCAAAAAAUUAAUAAAUAAAUAAAAGACUAGUCAACGUUCAACUUUGGACUGAUUCUUGUUCUUCCCCUAAAUUUCCUCGAAAGUGUGUGAAUGUGAGGUAAUCAUGUAUACCUAUCUCUAGGGGACAUCAUAAUUACAAACACUUAGGUUAUGUUCACGGCGAGACAAGAGACGGUCUUUAUUGUGGAAAUGUUGCAUAGGAUUAAUUUAUAAGUGACACCAACGGACAGUGCUAAUCAUAAUUUGGAGCUUUUGGAUGAAAGUGUGGCUACUUGUGUUUUCUAGUAAGACUUGAUAUAGGGUUCUCAUAGUUUUUCAUAGAUAUUUUAAGAAAUUUUGAUGUUUGUUGUAAAUUUGAUAUGCACUGAACUUUUCAUUUUGUUUAUUAACUCCAAGUAACUCUUAUUUAUCUAUACAUUUGCUGCUCUAUAACUAUACUUUUUUCUUUUUCCCCUUGAAAUGAAAAGGAGUGACCUAACAUAAGUCAUGAUACAUGAAUGUGAACACAAGAAUAUGUGAUGCAUUCAAUUGCUAGCCUCAUGAAAGGUUUGAAGAGGGUCGACAUUGAUUUGUCAAGCUAUCGGUUGCUUGGAAUAUACAUCAAUAUCCUAAUAAAAUUCGUCAAAUUUUCAUCUUUGUCCUAAUUCAUAAUGUGCUUUCUUCUCUCAUGCUUGCUUUGCUCAUGGUGAGUUUAUUGAGUCCACGUUAGUCCAAUUAUUUUCAUUGAUCCAGGGAACAAGAGUAUGAGAAUGCUAUUAAAAGGAGUAACAUGAAAAACUAACAAGAUUUUUGCCUUUUGCCGAGGAUCAAACUUGUCAUUUUCCGGCCUAACAUAUAACGAACCGUUAGACUGAUUUGGAAAAUUCUGAUUUCAUCGGCUUUUAUUGGAUAGAAACUACAUAAACCAAAGGUAUGUCGGUGCUCUAUCACGUGUCUUCCGGAGCAAUACUAAGAUAAAUGGAGUACUAUUGGCUCUUUGACCCUUCCCUCUUUCAUCCAUUGACUGAGAUAAGACAUCAGUGGCCCAAAACACAAAAGAACAAAAAGGAAUAAAUUCAGUGACACCCGUACCAACAUAUAUAAGACUUCAAAAUGAGUUUAAAAAUCCUGGGUCCUGCUGCACAAUAAACAAAAGCAAAGGAUCAACACAUGAAGAAAACAGAUCCUUUACCUUCACCAGCCAAAAGAUUGCAAGGUCAGUAGCAAAUGCAGGAAAGAGAUCCAGAAGAAAACCAUAUGAAACCGUUUAUUACUUACAAGCAUAUACCAUCCUGGAAACUAUAUGCAUGCCAUUAGCGGGAAGAGCUGAAAGAUUGUCUUUAACACAAAUUAACUAUAGUCAUGCGUCAUCUUUUAACAUGUAAACACAAUGAUUUCAUUCGGCAAAAUUGGCCACCCAUGUCAUGAAGUGCGUGGUAUUCUCAAAUUGGAGAGUCGCAAGCUGACAAAGCCAUUUAAAGGAUCGCAGCCUUCAGCCACUAAUCAUAUGUGAAAGACAGCCAAAUGUCAUGUGAAUCAGCAACUACUGUCCUAUUCGGCAAUACUAACAUUUCAGCCUUCCCGUUGUUCACAUGAAGAGCACAGACAAUCAUAAUGAAAUGAGAGAAAGCAGUGUGCGAUGAUAUACUCUAUCUUCAAGCCAACUUUGAAUGGUAGUUGCAGAUCACUUCUUUUAGGAACACUCUUGGAGAAAUCGAGCAUUUGAUGAUGUUAACCUACAUUCUGACAAAUACAGGUCAUUGUCUUCAUUUUCAGAGUCUACAGCAACCCAACCAUCAUGAUUCACUUCACCAUUGGAUUGCACAGCUGCCACAUCACUAUUAUCCUCUUCUGCAAGGAAAUGGAGAUCCACAAACAUUGAAGACACAUUCUGUGAGAGAGUAGUUUCUAAAUCUGGAUCGGCAUGGUGAGUAUAACUGAAAUGGAAUGGAAGUCCUGAUCUCCAACCAUUGAAGAGGGGAGAGACUGUGAACUUCUAAUAACUCUGUAGAGAUUUUGCUGACUACUUGCAAUUUUCACUAAAGACAUGGAACUACCCUGAACAGGAUAAGACUCCUCAUUAAGACAUGCUAGUCGGCAAAAGCACUCAUAAUUAGAGGCAGACAACAAGAUGGCUCAAAAAGAACAUAAAUGUUCCUACAGUUGACAGCAACAAGGUAUUUUAGUAACUAAAAUAUCACCUUUCCUGGAAGUUGAUUGAUCAAACCAUUUGCGAUUCAAAAUAUGAAUCUGACCCCAUCUUUUAGCGACCUUGUAUUUAUCUUCUGGAGCUUACAGCCAGUCAAGGGCAUCGUAGUGGUACACACAGUGCUACAGAGCAUCAUAUAUGAGGCCAAUAGAAAGAUUCAAUGGUAAUAACAUUGCUGAGCAAUGUGCUUUGAGCAACCAACAGGCAGUCCUAACUCACACUGGAAAAGCGAGAACUGGCUGAGGAUCUUUUAACAAUUAGCGGUUCAAAUUGUACGUUGUUUAACACCUUGUUUCCUUGAACCACAGAACACAAUUCUUUAGGACUGAUUUAGAAGUCAAAGUCAAUGAUAUUGUCAUGCCAGGAAGUUUCACUGUUUCUCAUCGUAAUCAAAUUCCCAAGUAAAAGGACAUUACCAAAAACCAAGAUUAAAUCAAGCAUAGCUAUUUCCUAUUUCAAACUAUAAUCAUCACUAAACCUUGAAAUGAUAUAGAUCUUCUUUUCAAACUCUUAAAUGUGUUUUCAUAUGCGAAGACAAGAUAAAGAUAUGUGCAUUUUGACACAGUGAUCUGAUAUCAAAAGGAAAAUAUGCAAGCAAAUCACUGGACCUUAAUCUUGAAGAAGAAAGGAUAUUUCUGCAAUUAAAUGAGUGCACUUCCUGGUCAAUUCUGCAGAAUAUCUCCCACCAUUUUGUGUAAUAUGCUUCUGAAUCUCCUUCCGUGCGUCUAAGAUCAUGAAGGACAUAAAAAUUGAAGAACUGGAGGACAACCAACAGCAGCAGCUAUAUCAAACAAUCAGUACCUGCAGGAAUUCCUGCGAAGUUCAUUGUCAAUCCAGAAAAUGGAAGAACUCUAUAAGACUCUUGAGGUACAACACGGUGCUCAAUACGGCAUUGGUAUAACCAAUUAAUGGUGACAACAGGUCACUUCAGAACAUUUAAAGCCCACUGUACGAUGACAACAUUAAUUGAUAAAUACAAUUUAUCUCUCAAGAUGGGAUUCAUAAAAGAAUUUGCACAGAGAAUAUUCAAAAAUAUAUAUAUAUAUAUAUAUGAAGGAAACUCUUCCUACGUUCAGCCAACUCAAUCAGAGUACUACCCAUGAUGCUUCCCAUACUCAGUGAAAAAGCAUAAUGAAUCUCAUUUAAAGUGAAUUUAACCUUAACAAGAUACAACAAAUUUGCAACUUUUAACUAAAUUCAAAUUAUAAACUCCAAGACUUGAACCUUGUAUUUUGCAGCCAAAAUAUUCUUCGCAAUUACGAAGCUAACAUCUACUGAAGUUUUGGUUUGUAGAACUCCCCCCAUUGAAGCUACCGAUUUCUCAAUCUCAGCCUGCAGAUUCGCGGAAAUGGUGAAACAAUAAUAGAGACGACAAGCUGCCACCAUAUUUGUUCAGACAAAAGCAUGUCUGAAGGCACAACAAUCAAGGGUCACAUUGAAGGAUACAUGGAUAAGGAUAAGUGACGCUUCACACUGAAGUUUUGGUUUGUAGAACUCCCCCCAUUGAAGCUACCAAUUUCUCAAUCUCAGCCUGCAGAUUCGCGGAAAUGGUGAAACAAUUAUAGAGACGACAGGCUGCCACCAUAUUUGUUUAGACAAAAGCAUGUCUGAAGGCAAAAGAAUCAAGGGGUCACAUAGAAGGAUACAUGGAUAAGGAUAAGUGACGCGUCACACUGAAUUCGAGAGACAAGUUACGACAAAGAUUACACGCUAAAAAAUCAUACAAGGCCAGGCUUAUCUAGGAACAGGCAUACCUCCUCAUCCACCUCAAAUCCAGAUGCAAGGACUUCGACAUUAUCUAUCGCAAGACAAACAAAUAUACCCUUUUUGAGGUAGAAGUCUCCGUUCUUUCGCACACGAAACCACCACACACUGCGGACCUGCAAGAAAUAUCCCCCAUCAAAAGUCAACAUUUUUUUCCCAGGCAGAAGAACUCCUCUCGACUUGCUUGACCAGCACAUUGACCCCAAUGCCUCCGCUUUCGUUUCUCAACUACAAGUCCUGGUUUAGCAUUUAGCAGCCUGGAGGAAACACCAGAAGAUAAGACUAGGACGAGAACAAGAUCUUUACCGACUAGCUUACAACCCUUUCGCCUGAAGAUCCUCGAGCUUCUCAAGACGUAAAACAACGUCAAACCCAAUUUUCAAAAUGAACCCAAAAGCCGUUAGCGCCGCCCAAUCCCAACGUACUCACGUGAUCGGGGAGAAGAAACAGCUUGAAAAUCGCGGGGCCCACUCCUGGAAGGGUCGCGGCGGAGGAAGGCCUCAGCUCCGUUCAGCUUGAGCGCGUCGAACGGCUCGGGAGGCACUCAAGUUCCUCGACACGAACACGGUCGCCCCCCUGAAACGGCUUCAUCUUCGCCAUUUCCUAUCUUCCUUCGCCGGCAGCGACUUCCUCAACAGAUGAUCGGUCUCGUUGCUAAGGAUUUCUGCGAAAUCCAAAUGCAUGUGAGAGAGAGAGAGAGAGAGAGAGAGAGAGAGAGAGCGACGAUGAAGCGCGAAGGGAAUCGGAAGUUGGAAGAGGAUGAAGGAGGAGCGACUUGGGGAAGAAUUGAGUGGAGUGAGCUUUUUCUGAAUUCUUCCCCAAAUUGGGAUGGAUUAGGGUAUGAGAAAGCGAGGGAAUGGGGUUUUUCUUGCGCUCUUUUCGGAUUUUCCUUUUUAAUUCCCCUUUUUUGUGCUAUUAAUUUUGUGGAUAAUUUCUCAAAAACCCCCCAGCUUUCACGCCGUUGCAUGACUGCUCUCGAACUGUGAAAAAGUUACGCACUAUGCCCGCGCCGGCGACACGAGCCAUGAAAGAAAAUAAAAGAAAAGAAUAAAAGCAAAGAAUUCAAAAAGAAAAAAUUUUAAAUUGCAAAAACUUAUCCAUGUCAACAUUGACAUGAUAAAUGAUCAAUAUUCACAUUAGCAAUUUUCAAUCAAAAUUAGUCAAAAGAAUUACAUUAACGAUUUGUCAAAAGUUUUAAAAUUAAAUUGACCAAAUUAAAAAAUUUAUAAUCGAAUUGACAUCCGUUGAUGAUUAUUUUGUCAAUUUUCCCUAAGAAUUUAGUCACAUGUCUAGAUCAAAACUUCACAUGAAGUUUUUAUUGUGGACCCAUAAGUGCCGAAAAAUUACAUUGGAUCAUGGAUAACACUUUUUAUCAUGUUUCAAGAGCAGCCAAAAAUUAGGGCUUCUUGGCGAUAAAUCUUUUUAUAGGUUUUUUUUUUUUUUUUGGUUGAUAUCUUUUUAUGGAGUUCAACUCUACAUUAUAUGACCAACCAAAAGAAUUUUAGAGACACUUUCAGAGCAAAUCCUAAUAUUAAUUAUAACAAUAAACGUGAGUCAAAACUUUCAUUUCGUACAUUUAAAUCCCAAAAUUUGUAACUCCAACAUAUGUGGGUCCUUUUGUUAAUUCUGUCAAUGGAUGGAUAAUAACAAGUGGAUUUUUUCUACUCACGGGUCAUUUUCUGUCUGCUAAAACCUAAUAGGACUAAUGGGAAGACUAAAGUGAGGGCUCAACCUAAUACAACAAGUUGAGGGCUCAGGUGCACGAAAUGAAAGUUUUAAGACCCAAAUGUAUCGUCGUGACGUCUUUUAAAUUGACUUACAAAUUCAUCAUGCUAACAAAACUUAUGAUCAUUCCUUAUACUUGACUUUGGAAAUAUGCUUGCUAUGUUUGCACAUAUAAUCUUGGGACAAAUAUAAUAACUACAAAAAUCCAAUGAAUCAAUCCAUGACAUCUUAGGUUGGACAUGAGUAUCGCGAUAUUGGACAGAGCAUUCAGAGCCCCUUAAAACUUGCAGUCUUACAAGAUGAAAAAGGAAGCCUGGUAGUAGGAGUAGAUGUACAAUUAGAUCCAAUCUAUACUUUGGGACUUCGGAAACUAUAGAGGAGGUGGGACCCCUAAAUUCCAACACACCUCGUACAAAGAAGAUUUUGAAUGAGCCAUCAAGCUGCAUAUAAACAAUUUCCAUAUAGGUAUAUUGGUUUAUAUGAUAUGCAUUCAUUUAAUUAACCCUACGGCUAUAUCCAUGUUGAGUUUGUGACGCUACUCUUCUUGAAGUACCCUAUGAUAAGUCUACUAUUCAUGAGAAAUGUCUUUGACCUCAGUUUCUAAACAAGUUUGUAUUAAGGUUUCUACGGGACUGCUAGACUAAUUCAUCGGUGUGUCCAUGGUCAGCAUUAAUAUAGGAGCUGACCAAUGGAAUCAACUAGGCUCCACGUGAUCAAACAGUUAAACACCGAAAAGUUUCGAGAAAUCUCGAUUUGUUUCCCUUGUCACUCCCAACUUAUGCACCUCGUAAGGUACUUCAUUACAGAAUAACCAAGAGUACCUUGUCCACCAACUAACAAAACUUAUCGGUAAUUGCCGCUCUAUAUUGAUGACACAGAAGACGAUCUCCAAAAUAAACUCAAAAAAGGCAACUAAUUUUAAGGCAAAUAGGAAUUUACAGCUCUUGCCCCAAAAAAAUCAUUGCUGGAGAUAUGAGGCAUCCGCAUUGCCAAUUAACUACAAAGGCAAUGACAACCAGUCAAUCAAAUGAAUUCAAUUAGCUAUUGAAAAGUUCAACAAAAGGAAAAUGAACUUAUGUCGUAAGGCACAUCUUAAAGGUAAAUGCUUUUUAAUUCUCGCUAUGUAGCAUUAACUAGACUAUUCAAAACUUGGAUGUGCAAUUGGUUGAAGGUUUAUUUUAGGGGAAAGAGAGGGAUUGGAUUUGGUAGAUACGAGUCUUUCCUCUCUGGACUUCUUUAAGUGGAAAGGCAUUUCAUUCAAAUCCACCUCCGAUUUUCUCUUAAUCUUCUUCUACGGCGAUAUCGCCUUUCCUUGUCUUGCAUCUUCCGAGAAGGUGCUCGAAGUUAUCUUGAUUUCCUCUUGCUUAAUUCUAUCUGAUCUGUAAUAGGUUAUUAUGAUUCUUUUAGCACCAAAUGAUGGUGAUGAUAAUGAUUGAUUACAGCUACUUUUAUACAACGAAAGGGAGCUUUUCUUUUCCAUCCAUUCCUUUGUUUGCCGUUUCCGAUGCGGAGCACCACAUGUAAUCAUGGCAUACAAUUAAAUAUGCUCAGAUUGGAGAGAUGGAACGGCUGGGAUUCUGGUCCCAGAAUCAGGUCAACAUGGUAAGGAUCGAAAGCCUUUUUGCAUAAAGGAAUUCUGGGCAAUGAGUCAGCCCUCACUCCCCACCUUUCUUAUAGAUCCAUCACAUCUUUACUAAAUUAGGGCAACGUUGUUGUUACUAUAGGUGCAAUAAUUUUGAAGAGAUGCCCAAAAAAAAAAAAAAAUCGCCAGGCCUCCACGGAAUGAAGAGUUAUUUUCUUGCAUCAGCUUUAGUCUUGAGGCCCGCACUGCGUGCAUGCAUGAUCACAAAUGGAUAACGUAUGAAGAGAAAAGUAUUUUUUUUAUUGAGCGGAUGUGGAGUGCAUGCUAAUUACACACAGGUAUAAUUUGGUGAUUAGUUGGUAAGGAGACGGUGUGUGAUUUUAACUUUCAACAGGAAGGGCAAUUUUGGAAAAAAAAGAGAUCGACAAAAUAAUGUUAUGGUGAAAACAAAGAGGUGCAAGUGUUGUGAGAUUCAAACCUAGGACCACGAGCGAUAAGGAUUGAAUGGUGAUGAACUUGUUUUGCCGUUUGGAGAUAGAUCUUCAUAUAUCCCUCAAAAGCAUGUUUCGGGUUGGUUUUUGAACGGGUCAAAAAUAGUUCGGCUCAAAUAAACUCAUUUUAAUCCGUUUAAUCCAUUUACAUACAAUAUGUAUAUAGUGACUCAGAUCCAACAAUGUCCCGUGUUGCUAAAACAUGUCUUUAUUUAACCCAAAUCUAGGAAAAUUCACACCCAAAAUCGAGAUGGGUUGGGUCAUAAACCCAUUUAGUACCUCAUCAUUUAUUUAUGGAAGAGGGAGGUGAGGGGUUCAAAUCCUCACAUUCUCGGGGGGAUGGGGUGGGGACGCGUAAGUUUCAGAAAUGGGUUUCGACUCCCACGCCCUGCAAGAGGCAAGGCAAAAGUCUAAGAGUGAGUGUAGAGUAGGAAUAGAGUAGGAAUAGAGUAGGACUAAUAAAAAAAAAUAUUCAAGAGAGAUAAAAAGACAAAAACACGCCCGGAUCGGAUUCGCACUCAGCACUGUUUUCGUAGCACCGAUUGCAACGGGCAAAUGGCCCCUUUCCUCGCCCGACCCACGGUCCAUCCCCCACAUUUCUCGUCCGUGGCAUGUGACUCGCAGGUGCAGAGACAGAGAGAGAUUCGACCAUGUGACCCCACCUCCUCGAAUGCCCAGAUCCGCCAGCUUCGGCGCUUUGACUUCAAAGGAAAAAACGACGACGCAGCACAAACCGUUCGGCGUUCGACCUCGGCAGUUCUUGGCAAAGGGGAACGUCAUUUCGCUCUUCCAUCCCCCGUUUUUUAACUUUUCAUCUUUUCUUUAUUUCAGAAAAAAAAAUAAUUUCUUUAUUUCCUUUUUUUUUCCUUCUUCUCGAAUAUGGUUAAAGGCCAAAUCGAAUAUUUCUAAGAAGGCAAAUCCCUAUUUUUCCCCCUCCUCCCCUUUUCCGAGUUUUCAUACAUUCUUUUUUCUGCUCCGCUUGGGACUUUUAUGCAGGACGAAAUUUCCUUUCCUUUUUUUUUUUUUUUUUGUUAAUUAAAUGAAAGAGAUCUUGAAAAGGGAAAGUCCGUCAAAUUGAAGCCAUGUGUAUCCGGGUAAACUUCUUGUUUUCCAUUUUCAGUUUUUGGCAAUAAAAUUAUUUUUGAAUAAUGGAGAAACCUUAAUUUUUGCAAAAAACGAGAACGAAUCUCUCGAGAUGGAUUAGAUGCGUUGUAUAAAAAGAAGUAAUACAAAUGUUUUGGCCACUUAUUAGGAUUUUGACUUAUGUUUUAUUCGGUUUACAAUGUUAGAGGGUUAUUCUUGGGGAUUUUUCUGAAAUUGGAUUAUCACCAAGAAAGAAGUACGAGUAAAUUAUAAUUUAUAAGACCGGAUCAAUAGAUUUCAUGCAAAGUCUUCUUUCGGUUUUUUGGUCAAAAAAUUUAUGCAGAGAUUUGAUGCUGUAGAGCCUGAAUAUCUGGCGGAGAAUGCAAACUUUGGUAAGCAAUGCAAUAACACAAACCACAAUUAAGGAACCAACAAAAUGCAAAUUCUUCUGAACCCCUUGCAUCAAAUAUUAAUAAAUCUGGUAAAAAAAGCCAUUAACAAGUCAGUCCCGUUGCGCAAAGAAACCGUUAAAGAUGACAAAUCAUUCAAAUUUGCCUAGUCAUGUGCACCAGCAGUGAAAGCCAUGAAAAGAAGAGGGCAGUGAAAUAGCUCUGAGCUUCAUGGCUGAUAAGAUUCAAAGAAAUCAUAUCACACAGUGUCACUCUCCUCCCAUCAGCUGAACCCAAAGAAAAAAAAAAAAGACAAAAUAAAAACGGAAGGAAUUGGAGAGAAAGGAGGUGGGACCCAAGAAAAUGAAGGGAAGUGCUUGGAUCAAUGCUUCAUAAGAGAGCCUGGCAACAAGGCAGUUUACAGCAUCUCAUGUUGAAACAAAGCAUAUGUGAAAUUCAAAUCCAAGAUCUAACUGUGACUUUUAGAAAAUACGAUUGCUGAAAUAGCUACGUGUUAGGGAAAAGUCUACGAUACAAAUAAAAACUGCCAAGUUCUGAAGAAAAUUAUGUGACAUGACCAAUGAGGCCUUUCAAUUGUCAAAAACACGUUAAUUUCCAUUUUCUUUAGUGUGGCGCAUGUGUUUGAUUAAACCAUCACAUCUUACUAAAUUAGGGCAACGUUGUUGUAAUUAUAGUUGCAAUAAUUUUGAAGAGACACCCAAAAACAAAAAACAAAAAUCGCCAGGCCUCCACGGAACAAAGAGGCAUUUAAUUGCAUCAGCUUUAGUCUUGAGGCAUGCACUGCGUGCAUGCAUGAUCACAAAUGGAUAACGUAUGAAGAAAAAAGAAUUCUUUUUAUUGAGCGGAUGUGGAGUGCGUGCUAAUUACACACGGGUGUAAUUUGUUGAUUAGUUGGUAAGGAGACGGUGUGUGAUUUUAACUUUCGACAGAGGGCAAUUUUGGAAAAAAGAGAUCGAUAAAAUGAUGUUAUGGUGAAAACAAAGAGGUGCAAGUGCUGUGAGAUUCAAACUUGCGACCACGAGCGAUAAGGAUUGAAUGGUGAUGAACUUGUUUUGCCGUUUGGAGAUAGAUCUUCAUAUAUCAAUCAAAAGCGUGUUUCGGAUUGGUUUUGAAACGGUUCGAAAAUGAUUCGGCCCAAAUAAACUCAUUUUAAUCCAUUUGCAUGUAAUAUGUAUAUAGUAACUCAUAAGAUAACCAACAUGUCCUCUAUUGCUAAGACAUCUCUUUAUUUAAUCCAAAUCUAAGAAAAUUCAUACCCAAAAUCGAGAUAGGCCGGGUUAUAGGCUGGGUUAUAAACCCAUUUAAUACCUUCUCAUUUAUUAUUUACGUUUACGAUCUAGUUUGACAUGUCUAGAUCUUCAAUAGGGAUAAAAAGACAAAAACACGCCCAGAUCGGAUCUGGACUCAGCCCGUUUUCGCAGCACCGAUUGCAACGAGCAAAUGGCCCCUUUCCUUGCCCGACCCACGAUCCAUCCCCCACGUUUCUCGUCCGUGGCACGUGACUCGCAGGUGCGGAGACAGAGAGAGAUUCGAAAGCAUCCGGUUUCCAUGUGAACCCCCCAUCGAACGCCCAGAUUCGCCAGUUUCAGCGCUUGGAGUUUAAAGGAAAAAAUGACAACGCAGCACACGAAUCGUUCGACCUCGGCAGUUCUUGGCAGAGGAAAACGUCGUUUCGCUCUUCCGUCCCCCGUUUUUUUUUUAACUUUUCAUCUUUUCUUUAUUUCCUUUUUUUUUCCCUUUUUCUCGAAUAUGGUUAAAGGCCAAAUUGAAUAUGUCUAACAAGGCAAAUCCCGAUUUUUCCCCCUCCUCCCAUUUUCCGAGUUUUCAUACAUUCUUUUUUCUCCUCCGCUUGGGACUUUUAUGCAGGAUGAAAUUUCCUUUCCUUUUCUUUUUUUUUUUUUGCUAAUUAAAUGAAAGAGAUCUUGAAAAGGGAAAGUCCGUCAAAUUGAAGCCAUGUAUAUCCGGGUACCCUUCUUUUUUUCAUUUUCAGUUUUUGGCAAUAAAAUAAUUUUUGAAUAGUGGAGAUACCUCAAUUUUUACAAAAAAAAAUGAGAACGAAUAUGAUGGAUUAGAUGUGUUAUAUAAAAAGAACUAAUACAAAUGCUUUGGCCGCUUAUUAGGAUUUUGACUUAUGUUUUAUUCGGUUUACAACUUAGAGGGUUAUUCUUGGGGAUUUUUCUGAAAUUGGAUUAUUGCCAAGAAAGAAGUACGAGUAAAUUAUAAUUUAUAAGACCGGAUCAAUAGAUUUUAUGCAAAGUUUUCUUUUGUUUUUUUUUGGUCAAAAAAUUUAUGCAGAGAUUUUGAUGCUGUAGAGCCUGAAUAUCUGGCGGAGAAUGCUAACUUUGGUAAGCAAUGCAAUAACACAAACCACAAUUAAGGAACCAACAAAAUGCAAAUUCUUCUGAACCCCUUGGCAUCAAAUAUUAAUAAAUCUGGUAAAAAGCCAUUAAAAAGUCAGUCACGUCGCGCAAAGAAACCGUUAAAGAUGACAAAUCAUUCAAAUUUGCCUAGUCAUGUGCACCAACAGUGAAAGCCAUGAAAAGAAGAGGGCAGUGAAAUAACUCUGAGCUUCAUGGCUGAUAAGAUUCAAAGAAAUCAUAUCACACAGUGUCACUCUCCUCCCAUCAGCUGAACCCAACAAAAAAAAAAAAAAAAGACAAAAUAAAAACGGAAGGAGUUGGAGAGAAAGGAGGUGGGACCCGAGAAAAUGAAGGGAAGUGCUUGGAUCAAUGCUUCAUAAGAGAGCCUGGCAACAAGGUAGUAUACAGCAUCUCAUGUUGAAACAAAGCAUAUGUGAAAUUCAAAUCCAAUAUCUAACUGUGACUUUUAGAAAAUACGAUUGCUGAAAUAGCUACGUGUUAGGGAAAAGUCUACGAUACAAAUAAAAACUGCCAAGUUCUGAAGAAAAUUAUGUGACAUGACCAAUGAGGCCUUUCAAUUGUCAAAAACACGUUAAGUUCCAUUUUCUUUAGUGUGGCGCAUGUGUUUGAUUAUAUGGUGGAGUGGGUGGGUGUGCAUUGGGGUUUAGUGGAGGAAACUUGAAGCGAAAAGGUUCAAAACAAUGUGAACCUGAAAAGCCUAGCCCCUCUAACCCAGGGGUAUCAGCAAGAAAAAUUCUACAGCCUUGACCCCCCUUAGCCUAUCCCAAGCAAAGGUGGCAAAAAUGGGUCAAAGACUAACUUUUUAACUCACACUUAGUGGAAUCAUUGGAUUUGCCCCGGUGGCUAUGUUUCUCACAUGAGAAGGGGGAGGCGGGGAGUUCGAAUCCCCCAUUUUUAAGGAGUCGAAGUAAAAACGAUUUAGUUUUAAAUGUAGGUUUCGAGUUCCACACCUUGCAAUGAGGUAGAGUAAAAGUUUGAAAGUGAGAGUUAGAGUAAUCAACUCUUACUUAGUAGGCUGGGUAUUAUUUGUGCUGGUUUAAAUUUUAAGAGCGUAUUAUUAUGCUUCAGAGUAGCAAAGCCCAACUUUGUCUUGGCCCAGCUAGCUAAUCUUCAAAAGUGUAUCCGCAGCCCACAUCCCUAAAUGGAGUUGGGAACGUGAGGAUGUGAUAAAUAAAUGGACGUCACCGGGGUUGUAUUUAUUCCUCGCUAGUUCCACACGCUAACGAUUUCAUCUAAAUCCAAUAUAUUAUAAAAUGAUACGACAUCACUGGUUUAUUCUCUUGAACCUUUAAAAUUUUAAAUAAUUGAUUGAUAUAUAAAGCUAUAAAUGUUAGAUGACACCAAAGAAGAAGCGGAUGCUCCCUCGAUGCUCCCUUCUAUGGCGCUCUUGGUUUUUCGUCUUGAGAUGAUUGAAUACAAGGAUAGAAAGAAGAACUAGUGUAGUGAGCACACACAAAGGAAUGAUGUGUUGUGAAAUGAAAUAAUGUCUCUUUCUUGUUUCCCUUGCUCUGGCUUUGCCCUUUUCUCCAUGGAAGUGGUGGAAAAGUAUUAGACAAUAUAAAAAAUAAGAAUUAGUGGAAAUUUAUUGAAAAAGAUAUUAAAAAAAAAAAAAGAUCGAUUGUUUGAGACAUGCGAGUACUAUUCUUGAGGAUAAUUCCACCUCUCGAAGUAUGAAAUUCAGUACAAUAGGCUCUAGAGGUUAUCCUCACAAGAUAUAACUCUAGACAGAAUAAUAAAUGAAAUGGGAACAUAUUAUGUGUAUAGCAUAGCCAAAAAAAGGGAAAUAUAUUUGAAUUAUGCGAAUUCAAUGUAUCUCAUAUGAUUUUGGUUUAUAGUUUAAUCUUGUAUUCGAAUGAAAGAGAGAGCUAUUAAUAAAUGAUUAUAAAUUAAUUGAUAUUAAUAAAACGAUGACCGUUAUAAAUUAUAAUUUGAUCACGUCAUAAACGAAAGAGAGAACCCAUAAUUCUCCUUUGCACUUGGUAAAGUCUUGUGAUCUUUGUCUUGGUAAAUUUCCUUACUCAUCGCAACUUUUCUUAAUCAAAUGAUAAUUUGAUUACGUCCAUAACUUUCCUUUCAUGUAUUGAAGUGAUGACUGAAAAUCGAUUUUGCAAAAUAGACUUGGCAGAUCAUGUUUUAACCCUUUCUAUCCAACGGUCUGUGUUGAAUGUAGGACUAAUCCCAUAAAAGAGAGUUUUGACUUGUGAAAUUCCCGUCCCCAUCGGGAGGUUUUGCCCAUAAUAAAGUAGCUUUUUAUUAUUAUUUUUGCCAAACAGUCAAGUAGUGUUUGGAAAUGCUAUUUUUCUUAAAGUUUUGAAAAUCAUUCCACUGUAAUAUUUAUAUUUAUAUGUAAAUUAAGGAAUAGUGUUACUUUGUCAAUGUUGUCUUUCACUGACGCACAGCAACAGACAAGUCUGUAACUCUAGUUUGAUAUGCAAGUCUUCCGUUUCCAGAAUAACCUUCACACAUAAUCCUAUCUCCCGAGGUUAACGAUGAUUUAACCCCAAGCGUGUCAAAUGAAGCCCGGGGUGCAAAAUAGAGCUUAGACAAACUUCAGGGGCGAAAGAGGAAAUUUCGAAAAAAAAAAUUGAAAAAAUAAGGCUCAAUCUCUCCCAUUCUCCGGCGUAUAUAUAAAAAUAGGUAGCGGAAAACAUCACCAUUCCCGCCAUCGCUGGGAACGUCUUUUGAAAAGAGCACUUCGAAGCACGCGGUCUCUAGAGAGAUUAGCGAUCGUCUCGAUUCAACUGCGGCUCGUGCAUCAUCGAUCGAUCGAUCGAAUUGUUCGAACAAGUUGAGACUCCAUGGAGGAUCGGGGCUUGGAAGAGGUAGAGAAAGCUCAGGGCUGCUGAGCUUGACUCUCGAGUUCGGCUUCGGCGAGCAGUCCGCCAGCAAGUGCUUGGGACCGUCUCGUUUCCCUCUACGGUAACUCGAAUCGUUAUUUCAUCGCCCAUUUUUUAUGCCGAUUAGCGUUGCGGAGGUUGUGUAGGUAUUUUGGCGAUUGAUUGUGUUGCGUGGAUGAUUCGUGAAUCGAUUGAUUGUGCAGUCCUGAAUACGAAGAUUUAUUGGGGAUAGUUGUCAUUCUGAUGAUGGCUGUGGAAUGGUCUGCCUGUUGGAUGUGAAUGCACCAGAGCUAGUUAAAUGUAGUUCAUUGAUCUCGUCCCUAUUUCUCAGUGGUUUUUGCGGAGCAGUCUUAUUGACUUGCGAAAUGUCUCACUUAUUUCUAAACUGACUGCAAAUUUACACAUGGUGUCUUGCCUACAUAUAAAUAUGGUGUCUCACUGAACUAAGUGCAAAUAACAUAUCGUAGAUUGUGUUUAUUUGAUCUCUUGUUUUCCAUGGAACUUGCAAAAUCAUCUCUUUCUUCUUUUGGUUUUCUUAACAUGAGAAGGUCGAGAGUUUAUCAAGUGGAGCACUGUGGCGAUGGCUUCCUAGCAAACUUGCUGAAAUGAUGCAAGAUUCUGAGGAUUGGGAUGAUUUACAAGCUGCGAAAAAUCAAAAGCUUAUGGAGGUUUGAUUGUAUGUUUGGCCAAGACAUUCGUAAUGGCAGUGAAUGCAACGUUUCGCACUAUGUCGAUAUUUUAGAAGAUUCUCCACAACCUGAGGAAAACCAAACUUUUCUUGAGGUGGAUUCCUCUACCAAUAGUGAAGACGAGGACAACAUAUUUGGCGGCAAAAUGGGUAGGAAAUCCACAUGCUAUAUUCCUGACCAAAGUAGUACUUCAGGCGAUUCUUCCACUCAACUUCUGGCGAGACAAUCUCUAGAAUCCAUGUUAUGCUUCUCCCAUUGACAUAGACAACACACGCCAAACCACUUAAAUCACUUUAUCACUAUUCUUUUCUCAUAUAAGAUGUUCUCUCCUCGAUCUUGCUUGUGAUUCCGCACACAGCAAAGGACCUACACUAUGUACAUGUACAAAAGCAUUAAUUACUCAUGGGCCCUCUCAUACAAUCAAAUGUCGAAUAGACACCCCUAGCGUUUGCCAAUUACUUCCACAAUCUUCAAGAUCCAAAAUGACAUAUUGGAACUCCUUGGUCAAUAAAGAAGUUGAUUUUAGUUUUGGAUGAUGUACGAAUGCCUAUAUUUCGCAAAUGCUUUGAGAGUAUAGCAAAUCAUUAAAGUCUGGACUUUAGCAAUCCACCAUUAUCGGUAGGAAUAUUUUGUGUAAAUGAAGGCUUGUGAUUUCUUUGUGUACAUUCACCACAAACAUAUAGGACAAGUUGUGUUGACACCUAAAUUUUGACGGCCCAUUUAUUUAUUUAGUGCAUAGAAAAUUAAAGGUUAAGUUUAUCCCUAAAAAAAAAAAUCAAUUGCAUAACAUAUAGUUUAGAAGCAUUUUACAUUAUUCUUUUAUCACUUUUGCAUUUGAUCAGCGGCGGAUGAGCUUCACCUUUACGAGUUGACAUAAAGGAUUCAUAUUAUUCUUCCAAUAUUCGGUAAUUAUUUCAUAUAUUCAUAUUAGGCGAUAUAUUACAAAAGAUUGGAAGUUUAAGCAUGAAAUAUCAAGAAGAAUAUCACACAUGGGGAUAUUUUGAGCGAUAUAUUCUAUGUCUCAAGACAAGAAAUAUUUCCUAAUCAAAGGAGAUUUCGUGCGUGAGCUGAGAAAGGAAGUGAAAUAAUCCACGAAAAUCAAAGUUAUUCACCUAUAUAAGAGCCGCGUACGGAGAAAAAGAAAAGGAGGCCACACACUUCGAAUAUACGGCCGCACAAGGGGUUUUCUCUCGAGUAGGAAGUUAGGAAAUUCAAGAAAAGAAAAGUCAAAAAGACUUCUUCGCUUUUGCUGAAAGGACGACAGAGAGAACUGCCGAGAGAAGAGAGGGGGAAACGUGGGAUGUGACGUACAGCAGGAUGUGAGGGCUUCAUUCAGCAAAAAAAAGAAUAAUAAAAAAGGAGAAAAGAGCCCCUGUUCAUCUUCAUCCGCGAAGCCGCACACUGCCGGCCUCCCCGGUAGCGCCUCCACCCGCGACGCCUCUGCUCCGACGCCACGCCCACACCACGACGACGCGGUCGCAACCACCAACCACAGCACCCGCACCGCCGUCACGCCCGCCUUGCCUGCAAUCCACUCCGUCUGCUGCGACCCGAGCGCCGACACCGGAGCCGCUCCUGCCCUGCUCCGCCACUCGUCCGCGAUCGCCCAGCGCAGAUCUAUGUUCGCCGAGCCCUUCGCUGUGCCACUGAGACUCCGGUAGCCUGUAGCCCCGCGAAGCCGAAGCCCACUGCGAUUUCGCCCUGCUGCUUCGCCGUUCCGCCCCACGCCGUAGCGACGCCAGCAGCUGCCGUCGCCUGUCCGCCUAGCUCCGUCUCUGCUCCAACCAGCGACCGACGCUGCUCCUGCCCGGGUGCCGUCCCUGUCGGACCCCCCUCACCGGACCGACGGCCGGCUUCCCCUUGGAGACCUACGAGCAAGCCGUGCUCGAGAAGGCAUAAGAAAGAGAAAAAACAAACAAAAGAAAAAAAGAAUUUUUUUAGGUAGUUCUUUAUCCUUUUUUUUUACUUAUUUGCCUUAUUUUGUUAUUUUUGUUAUUUUAUUGCUUUAUUUUAUUUGUUCUCUUGUAGUUUAAUUAUCCUUUAAUGUGAAAUUGAAAUUCCAUGAUAUGAAAUUGCCUUGAAAUUAGUGAUUGUCAGUUCGAUUUUCGAGCUCGAAGUCCGACUCGCAAUUACUUAAAAAAAUUGCAAAUCCGAUCUCCCGCUCGAGAUCCGAUUCGUGAUUUAUGUGAAAUUGGCCAACCCGAUCUCAUGCUCGAGAUAUGGUUCGUCGAUUUGGAUAUCAAUAUGGCUUGAUUUGCUGUGGUGUUACUUAAAUUAGUUUUCUUUAAAAAAAAAUCAAAAAAUGUAGUUUUAGGGUUUGCAUGUUCAUAAUAGGUAUUUUAUUUCGAUUUUUCAAAAAAAAAAUUAAAUCAAUUAAUUUAGGUUGCUAGUUUGUUUAAAACUUGGAUUGCAUGUUUAAUUAUUUGGCAAUUAUUAAUUUCGAAAUUUAAAAAAAGGGAAAAAAGGAAAAACACAAAAAAAGUCAUCAUGCAUUUGUCAUGUAAAAUUAAUGCAUCUUUUGCACUGUCAUUGCAUAUUAGAAUAAAUUGCAUGCUUAUUUAGAAUAAAAACCAUGUGCACGUCAUAUAGAAUUAUGUUCACACAAUGCACGUCAUUUAGUGAUUUUUGUUAGGUCAAUUUAAUUAGAAAUUGUCAGUCAUUAGAUUAAUUUAGAUUGCAUAUUUAAAUGUUGCAUUUCUUUAAUUUUGAAUCUCAUAGAAAAUACAAAAAAAUUAUUUAGAAUAAAUCAUCUCAUGCUUAUGAUAGACUACAUGCUUAGUUAUGUCAUAUUGCUUAGGUCAUAUAGUUAAGUCAUGUGCCAUGUCAUAUCAUUUCAUGUUAAAUUAGUGGCAUGCAUCGCAUAUUGCAUGAUUUUCAUUAAUUAAGUGAAAACAAAAUAAAAAUUGCAUGUUAAUUAGAAAUCAUAUUUAUGAUUGCUGAUGUGAAUUUUAAACUAACAACGCAGAUGCUUUCGUUGCUAUGAGGUAAGUCCUGCAAUUUAUUCAUUUGCUUUCUUGAAUGUUAAAUUGGUGGUUUGCGUACUUGCAUGGUCACCUCACAUGUUAAGGAAUUAAAAUUAAUUCAAGUUUGCUUGCCAAACAAUUUUUUCGAAAUUAAAAGAAUGGUACCGAAAGGGCGUUAGAGAAAUCUAGCGUAACCAAGUCCCUGUACCCAAAUCUCUGGUUCGUAGGGGUAAAGUAAAUCUCCCAUUACUUUACUUGGGUUUCUAAUCGACCCACCAAAAAUAGAUUAGUGGCGACUUCUAAUUAAAAAUCAAUUGCAUGUUAAGAAUUUGAACCUAAGUCGCGAAUUGGUAUGGGCUUGGGAGAGCCCAAGUUAAGUCUAGGCUUAACAAUCCAUUAGUCAAACCCUAGGUGGUUCACACCCGAAAAAAAUUGGUCGCGACAAGUUGCAACAUUGUUUUCAUAAAUUAAUGAUUUUUGUCCAAUGUUACACUUAAAUAGAUUUUGGGUAUCAAUUUAAAGGGAGGUUUUCACCUAAUAAUUUUGUUGGAUAAAUUGGAGUCUCGUAUGGUUUUUACUCUCAAAGUUAGUUUUUCCUAUAUAUGCACAAACUUUUUAGAGUUUGAAAUCAGGUUUUGAUUCAAUGUUAACAUCUCAAUUUUUUAAAACUCGAAGACAAAUUUUCAAAGCUGGCGUUUUAAGUUGGUUCGUAGCAAGAAAAAUUUCUUGUUAAAUAUUUAUGGGUUGUUGAAGGCGUGAAAAUGAGAAAACAUGGUAUUCGUCUUCUGCAGUAUUGCUUGGUAACUGGAAUUAGUUGUUGAAUAUGGAAAAAAAAGAAAUAAUAUUCAUCGUCAGUCGCAAAAAAAACAAUAAAAGAAGAAGAAGAAGAUUUUGAAUAGAAGGCGCAGUUUAAGAAAUUGUUCAAGAAAUUAUGGUCUAUUAUUAAAAGAUAUGCCAAAAAAAAAGGAACAUUAUUACUGUCCAUUAUUAAAAGAUUUGCAUCUUGGAUAAUGUUCCAUUGGUCCAUGAUCAAUGAUUUUUCAAAAAUAGUCACGGGAUUGUUCCGUCUAAGAACCAUAUAUGGGGAUUAUUUUAUUGAUGGCCAAACUUUCGUUUUAUAUUGAUCUAGUCCGAGGAGCACUAAUAAGUCCAAUUUGGCUGAAAAAAGAAAAAUUAAUAAGUUUACCUUACUAGUCACUGAUUAUUUGUCUUGGUACUUUAUAAUGGUUUGAGUGUUGGUCUUUGUUUUUUAUUUUUUCCUCUAGAAAGACCCUUGGUCGUCAUUACAUCUUCUAGUUGGCUAACAUGGAUGUGAGCUUAGAUUGUGACAUUCUUCCCAAGAUUAAGAAUUAAUAAUUGCCUUUUAAAAGUUGGUCGCAACGGAACAAUAAAAAGAACAAAGAAGAUUUCUAAAAGAAGGUAGGCGGUUUAAGAAAUUGUUCAAGAAAUUAUGGUCUAUUAUUAGAAUAUAUGCCCAAAAAUGGAACCCUAUCCACUACCCAUUAUAAAAAGAUCUGCAUCUUGAAUAAUAUUUUAUUAGUCCACAACCUUUGACUUAUCAAAAAUAGUCACAAGACAAGUUAUUGAAGCCAACUAGAUUAUUAUGUGGAAGGGGAUUAUUUUUUUAUAGCCGAUCAUGAUCAAACUUUGUCAUUAUUAUCGGGGCAUGCCUGAGCAGGCACGGCUUGGGCAUGGCUCGCAUGGGCCUAGAUAUUUUAAAAAAUUAAUUUAAGAGAAAUUAAAUUAAAAAAAUUGCAAUACUUUUUUUCAAAUUAUGUAAUAUAAUGAGAAAUUAUUUGAGGGAAAUUAAUAAGGAAAAACACUCGAUUCUUUUAAACCAAAUUGAAACCCAAGUACAUCUUCAUAUAAUUUGAGAAAAAAAUUACACUUAGUGGAGCUCUACUAAUGAUUUCACUCCAGCAAUCGUGUUCUUAGGCACUGUUAGUCGGAAAUCAAUAAUUGUCUAUUGUCCAUACGCCUUGCACAUGCCUCAAAACUGACUUGAUGAUUCUUAUGUACCAUUGGGUCAAGAGUGUUUUACCUGAUUCUUUUUGUGUUUGUGUUUGUGUUUUGCAUCUACGAAUUCCCUUACGUAGAUAGCCAAUAAUUGUAUCAUAAUGAUGCUCAUACUUUAGUCUUUAUCUUAACAUUAUCUCCUCAGCAAAAUGGAUUCUGCUCGAGAACGGCACUCUAAAGAUCAAUGUGGAUGGCUCGUAUGUGAAGGGAGAGAGAAGAGGAAGCAUCGCCGGUGUUUGUAGGGACGAGUCUGGAACACCGUCGCUGGAUUUACCAAGAAAGUGCGGGUUAACUCGAUGGAGCAAGUGGACGCUCUAGCGUGCACACAAGCCCUACGCUUCUCCUCUGCUUAUGAACCCAAGUAUUCUCUAGAGUCAAAUAAUUGGUCAAUGAAAUAUGCAUUUUCAAAUCAAGAAGAGCCGACGUGGAGUAUCCAGCCUCUUAUCUCUAAAGGCAAAUGCCUGCUGGCCCAAUACGAAAGCACCCGUUAGCCCACUGCAGGAGAGAAGCGGACCAGGUAGCUGAUUGUAUCUCUAGGGCCCAUCGGCAAAAAUCCCUUCCCACCAAUUGGGUUUCUUAUCCCUAAAAAAUAUUAUGCGAUCUAAUUUAUUCAGAGGCCCAUUUAGUUUGUAAUCGCAGAGCUACUUAAAGUAUGAAAGAAGUUUAUUUCGAUGAAAAGAAGAUGAACAUUUAGAUUUCUCCACCAUCUCCGAAAUGUCAAAGAACUUACAAAAAUUUUGUAGAAAAACUUAAGUGCAGAAGUUUUCAGUGAUUGGGGCUCUUCUUGAAAUUCUAAUAACUUUAAGAUAACCUGAGUAGAGCUUAAACUUGCACAUCAUCAAGGAACUCAUUGAAUUAGUUAAUUUCAUCCUCUCCAAACACUAUUUUAUGAAUAUGCGGAUUCACGAAAAGACAAGAUUGGCCUAAAUGACGAGAAUACAUCAAUUUGUGCUUCUGCUCUUUGAUUUGAUGGUCUUGUUUGAGAAUCUAGUUAUCUCAUUGAACCUCUCACUUAUCUCCCCCUCAGUGUCUUUACAUCAAACCAUUUUUUUUUUCGCGUGGCUCUCACACUUGCCCAUCCACCACUGCGAGCGAUUGAUUCCAUGAAUCGCUCCGAGUCUUUGCCUUUUUGUGAUAAACAAAUGCAGAAAUGGGGGAUUGCUAUAAGGGCGACGGUGCUUUAUUCUGCUUGAAGUGGAUGAUUAGGAUAAGCCCUUUGCCUUCACCUGCCUAUUUCACGCAACUCCUGGAGGGAUCGUGGAGAAGAUGAAGAAGCAUUGCGCCCCUGCAACUGGCACGACCCGGUCGGAUAAAUUUGAAGGGAAUGACCCCCAACGAUUUUAGCCUUUGCAUUCUGGUGAAUUGCCUCUACCAAUUGAAAAGGUCCAAUCUUGGACUCGAAUGCACAACCAGGAGCUUUAAUCCUUGACAGAUGGCUUAUCUUGCAUCGGCAAAUGGAAAAUAAAGCAAUGAUUUUGUUGAUGAAUACAGCACGAUUUAGUAUCCAUUAUUAAAAGAUUUGCAUCUUGGAAAUGUUUUAUUGGUUGACAGUCAUUGACUUUUCAACUCUAGUCACAAGAAGAGUUAUUGAUGGAAUCGAAAAGACUCAAUGGAGUUUACUUUUUUUUUUGUUAAUCGCUCAUAAUGAAAUUUUGUCUCACUUUCAUUUUAUAUUGAUCUAGGCCAAGGACAACUAAUAGAUUUUAUUUGGCUGAAGCAUCUUCCAGCUAGGUAACACGGAUGGAACCUUGGGCUCCAUAUGUUUCCGGAAAACAUUAGACCAUGUGAUUGCAUCAAGGAGCCAUGAAUUAAACCCUUCGCCAAUAGGGAGGCUGUUAUCAUUCGUGAAUGCAAAUAUUGGUACAAUUCCUUCAUUUAUGAGAUUGGCGUAGUCUCAAAAUCUCAGGAAUACAUCAUAGGGAUCACUUCCCCCCUCCUGUUGGUGUUGGAGAGACGAAUGUAGAUAUAGAUGCUCUGGUAGUGCUCUUAUUUUCGGCAUGCAGUAUUGCUUCUGCUGUUUUUUCUUGUCUUGAGAAGAUUAUAAGCGCACGGCGAAAGAAGAAUUGGCGCGACAAGCACCGCUAAAGGGGCACCCCCAAAACCGAACUGUUGGCACUUCGUUAUUUUCGUUAUCCGGCUCUUCCCUUCAAAAGAAAGGCCCUUCCUGUAGUGCAAAAGGGAUAGAUUAACAUAUGAACUAGACUUAUGCAUCAACUUGAAACGACUGCCACCACACGCUCAACAGUAAAGUGCACAACUUCUUUUACCCAAAGAAAAAAAAAAUUACAGACCCAAGGGUGUCAAAUGAAACCAAGAAAAACUUACAGGGGGCAAAAAGAGAGCUUAAACAAACUUCAGAUGCGAAAACGGAAUAUUCAAAAAUAGAAAGGGAAAACAUCAAUCCCGCCAUCGCUGGCGAGGUUUUUUGAACAGAGCACUUCGAGCGUACGCUCUCCAGAGAGAAGCUAGCGAUCGAUUCGAUUCCGGCUCGUGUAUCGUCGAUCGAUCGAAUCGCUCGAACAAGUUGGAAUUCCAUGGGGGAUUGGGGCUUGGAGGAGGUAGAGAAAGCUCGGGUUGCUGAGCUUGGCUCUCAAGUUCAGCUUCGACGAGCAGUCUGCCGGCAAGUGCUUGGACCGUCUCGUUUCGCUCUACGGUAAAUCGAAUCAUUACUUCGAGUUAUGGAGCCCAUCUUUGAUGCUGAUUGGCGUGCCAAAGCUUCUGUAGGUAUUCAUCGUCCACCACGGUGAUGAUGGCCGUGGAAUAGUCUGCUCUAGUUUUGAAUAGAUCGGAGCUGGUUCAGCGAAGUGGUCUUGCUGACGAGCGAAAUGUCCGGCACGGUUCUAGUUUGAUGUUUUAAGGUUGCUUCGGAUGGUGGUUCUUGGUGAUUAGGGAAUGAUGUAAUUGCUUGUGUUGUGUGGAUAAUUCGUGAAUCGAUUGAUUGUACAUUCCUGAAUGAGGAGAUUUAUUGCAGUUAGUUGUCAUUCUGACGAUGGCUGUGGAAUGGUCUACCUUUUGGAUUUGGAUGGACUGGAGCUGGUUAAAUCUAGUUCAUUGAGCGUUAAUCCUGUCCCUACUUCUCUGUGAAAUGGUCUACCUUUUGGAUUUGAAUGGACCGGACUAGCAAAAUGUCUGACUUCUUUUCUGAACUAACUACGAAAUUACAUAUGGUGUCUCACCUUCAUGUAAAUAGGGUGUCUCACUGAACUAAGUGCAAAUUCGCAUAUUGUAGAUUGUGUUUAUUUGAUCUCUUAUUUGCCACGGAACUUACAAAAUCAUUUCUUUCUUCUUUUGGUUUUCUUAAGGUGACGAAGGUCGAGAGUUUAUCACUGUGGAGCACUGUGGUGAUGACUUCCUAGUAGAACUUGCUAAAACCAUGCGAGAUUCUAAGGAUUGGGAUGAUUUGCAAGCUACAGAAAUCAAAAACUUGUGGAGUUUUGACUGAUAUGUUUGGCCAAGAUAUCAGUAGUGACGGUGAAUGCAAUGGUAUACAAAAUGUCGAUGUUGUAGAAGAUUCCCCACAACCUAAGAAAAACCAAACUUUUCUUGAGGUGAAGAUUCCUCUACUGAUAGUGACGAUGAAGACAAUAUAUUUUCAGUAAAAUGGGCUGGAAAUCUACAUGCUAUGUUCGUAACUAAAGCGGUACUCCAAGCGAUUCUUUCAUUCAACUUCUGGCUAGAUGAUCUUUAGAAUCCAUGGUAUGCUUCAACCAUGGACAUAGCCAAUACAUGCCAAAUCACUUAAAUCACUGAGCCACUAUUAUGUUCUCAUAUAAUUUAUUCUCUGCUUGAUCAUUUGCAAUUUGCUUGCAAUUUUGCACACAGCAAAGGACCUACAUGAUGUACAUGUACAAAAGCAUUUAGUAAAUUGCUUAUGGGGCCUCUCAUCCAAUGAAAUGUCCAAUAGACAGUCAUAACUUUUGCCAAUUACUUCCACAAUCUUCAAGGUCCAAAAUGACAUAUUAGAACUCUUUGGUCAAUAGAGAAGUUGACUUUCGUUUUGGAUGAUGUACAAUUACCUACUUUCUCAAAAUACUUUGAGAGUAUAAUAGAUCAUCAAAGUGUGGAACUUAGCGAUCUGGCGUCUUUGAUAGGAAUGUUUUGCAUAAAUGAAGGCUUGUAAUUUAUUUGUGCACAUUUUUUCAUUUUCCAUGACAAUCCAUGUCAGAAACUAUUACGGUGCUGAAGAGGUUUAUUCCUGUUGAAGGACUGUAAGAGCACUAUCACUCAAGGUUCAAUAUCAGUUUCAAAUGAAAAUGGCCAAUGUUGUCAUAUUCGAAAAUAGGGCAUUUUGACCAAUGUGGGCAUCAGGCAUGUAAAGCUUAUGUAGCCAAGCAAUUGCUUCAUUCUCAUGCCCACUAGAGGUGGUAAAAGCUUAUGUUACUAGGUUAGUGAAUGUUAACAUCAUUUCAUUUGUAUAAUGAUCGAAUGUAGACGUAAGAGCACUGUCACUCAAGGUUCAAUAUCAGUUUCAAAUGAAAAUGGCAAAUGUUGUCAUAUUUGAAAAUAGGGCAUUUUGACCAAUGCGGGCAUCAGGCAUGUAAAGCUUCUGUAGCCAAGCAAUUGCUUCAUUCUCAUGCCCACUGGAGGUGGUAAAAGCUUAUGUUACUAGGUUAGUGAAUGUUAACAUUAUUUCAUUUGUAUAAUGAUCGAAUGUAGAUGUAUGUGUGGAGACAAUGUUUGGAGCACAAGCCCUGUGCACUUUGCUCAAUGGUUCCACUGAUUAAAUACUAGACGGAUAGACUUGUACAUUGAAAUUUAAGAUUUAAAAUGAUCUUGUAAUCUGCUUUGUUAGCACUGUUGCGAAGUUUGUGCUUAAACUUAAGUUUGAAAAUGUUUUCCAAAUGCAAAUUAAGCUAAAGGAAGUGAUUCAGGUAUAGAACCAUGGGUCCAAUGUACAAGAUCUGACUAGGUUGGAAAAGAAUAUUAUAUUGGACAUUCUUGUUCUACCUUCGCACAUUUCUAUCUAUUCUGUGAUUUCUAGAAUUUGAGGUUUGUGCUAUGCUUCUAGGACCUUCUAAUUACUUACUGAAAAAUUUAUCUUGUUUUGCAUGUAAGUGUUGUUGUCAGUCAUAGUUAAGGUCCAAGUCAAAAGGGUUAUUAAGUCAAAGAGGAAUAAGUUUUUAAAUUACUUGCACCAAAUACGGAUUUAGAUCUCUAUAUUUCCUGCAGGUAAGUGCUAUGUUAUCAUCUCAACUGGGGUGAUCAUGUAAGAUGGAUCUUGGUAGCAUGCAACAUAUCUGAUCUACUGAAUCAUGAAAGAAGAUAUUAAUAUGAAUUUAUUAGUUUGAGUUAUCCUGAAGUACUUUCUGUUGAGUCUUGAAGUAGAUGAUAUGUGUUUCUAGUUGAAGUAAAUAAAAGACAGAUAGUGACAGCUAGUGCUUUCUGAUCAGCCGAAGGUGAAUGAAAGGAUAAUUCCUUCAUCCCAUCCUCUCUUCAUGUGCUCUUUUGAUGUUUUUAUCCUUCAUUUCAGCUGCCAACUACUCUUAAACCAAGUGUCACAUUCAUUAUAUGUCCCAUGGUAUCUAUCAACCAGGAUAAAAUAAUUACCCUAACCCUCCAUAUGUUGCAAUGGAUGCACAUUUUUUUAUGUAUUUAAUGAAAAGAUUCAUGCCUAAGAUGUUUGCCUCAAAUAAAUUUUACGAUCUCAGUGUUCCUAGAGAAGUACAUCAUACCAUACAAUUAUCAUUUUGCCAUAAAAUGUUGGGCUAUAAUUGUUGCUGUGAGGUUUCUAUUGGACUUUUAAAACUUUUUUUUGCUGACUGUUGUGAUUAUCAAGUCAUUAAUACAUAAAAAAGGUGCCUUUUCAGGAAAGUUAAUCCAUCGUGCAAGCUAUUGUAUGUAACCCUUGAAAGGAUUGUAGGAAACCCAUCAUUUCUUUUUCACUUUUUGAUGCUCGGCUGCCGUGCAUUGCAGGCACAACUAGCUGGUUUUGUUGUUGAUAAGACACAUUAAGUGAGGUAUGUUCUUUGGCAUCCUUGCAUCUGAAGCAAAGUUAAUGCUAAAGUUACUUCAAAAGGAAUAUGUAUUUAUGAUGUUGCCACUGCAAAACUACUGUCCUUGUCCCAGAUAAAGAAGUUAACUUUUAUAUACGCUCACUCAAACUCUCUUUUUUGAACAUUUUUGCAUAUUAUGUAUUUCUAGCCUAAGUACAUUGUUGGUGUUACACUGAACCUUCUGAAACCCAGACCUUCUUUGACGAUCUAGUAUAACAGAUGCAAUGUUGAAAUAAGUAAUUUUGGAAAUGAUCUAGUUCCUUCUUGUGGGAAAAGUCAGUAGCACAUUGUUAAUCAAAUAAAGCAAAAUGCACACAACUAAAAUGAGCUCCAAUGGAUAUUACUUUCGGAAGUAAUUGGAAGUGUCCAUGUUUGGCUUGGUAGUCAGGUCUCUUAAGGUGGUUCUUGUGUCCCUAUUUAUUCUUUUAACCUUUUUGCUAUAUAAUAACAACGUGGUAUAUAAGGCAAAAGUUCGCCCAUUGGAUCAUUGGUUGUGUUUCUUAUGAGGUCUUUACUGGAUUUGUGCUGCCAGUGCCAUCUCAUGAAAGAAACAUAUUGCCGGUUUGAGCUUUUCUCGUAUAUUUGAAUGAUUGUAAAUGAGGAAUGCUUAUUCAUCAUUACUUUCUUUGUUGUCAUUAUUGCAGUCCAUGGGGACGUGAAUUUUGUCCAAAUUAUAGAGGACUGGAAUGUCUCAAGCAAAACUUUCCAUAUGUCCCAGCGAUGGCCUUAACUGCCAUUGCCACCUGUUCGUGAGGUAUGAAUUGCACAUUAACCUCGAAAUUUUGCUGAAAUAAUCAUUUGGGACUGAUUGAAAUCCUGAAAGCUCUCAGGAUCCCCCAUGCUCUUGUUCUUGAGACAGAUUUGACAGACCAAAUCUAAUGUCUGAGGUCACAGCUAAGACCAAAGAACCAAUGAAGCAGCUUGAAGAGCUGUUAAAGAAUCAUUUUGCUAAUUUUUGUGGCAUAGUAUUUUGCCUCUCAGAGAGUAAAUGUGUUGAUGUUACAAAAUUCUUGAAUGAUACGUGUGGUAUAAAGACGGUGUACUAUCAUGCUGGAUUACCAGCCCAUCAAAGAGUAGCUGUUCAAACGAAAUAACAUGCUGGAGAGGUCCAGGUUGUGUGUGCUACCGUUGUUUUUGGCAUGGAAUAGACAAACCUGAUGUUGUAGGUUGAAAUGGACUUUGUGCCUUUGUCUAUUUUUAGUUUUAGAAUCAAACUGACACGUUGGCAAAAUACUCAAUUGAUCCACUUUUCUUCAAAUGUUUAAGUAUCGCUAAUUGGUUUCUUAGUGUGCUUUGAAGUAAACUUUGCUAGUUGCAUGGUUCAGUGGCCUGCUAAAUUAUCAUUCUUGGCUAUUUUUCAAGCCAAAUUCUUUCUUCCAUGCAUGGAACUUUGGUGUGCUGAAAUUAAGUUAAACUAGGAUAAAGUUCUUUUCUUUACUGUAAAAGUGGCAAAUGACUCUGAUCUAACUUGACCUUCAGUUAUAAUGUUUUUGUCAUAUUUUAACUUUUUUUUUAAUUGGUUCGGUAAUUAUAUUUUAUGGCAUGUGGUCAGCAUUUUGUCAUCCACAACACAAUGUUGAAGUCAAUCGAAAGCUAUUACCAAGAAUCAGGGAUGCAGGAAGAGAUCUACCAGCAAUUUUUCCACUUAAUUUCUGGCCAAACGAUCUUUAGAAUCCAUGGUAUGCUUUAACCAUGGACAUAGUCAAUAUAUGCCAAACCACUUAAAUCGUUGUCACUGUUCUGUUCUCAUAUAAUUUAUUCUCUGCUUGAUCAUUUCCAAUUUGCUUGUGAUUUUGCACACAGCAAAGGACCUACACAAUGUACAUGUCCAAAAGCAUUUAGUAAAUUGCUUAUGGGGCUUCUCAUCCAAUCAAAUGUCCAAUAGACAGUCUUAACUUUUGCCAAUUUCUUCCACGCUCUUCAAGAUCCAAAAUGACAUACUAGAACUCCUUGGUCAAUAAAGCAGUUGACUUAAGCUUUGGAUGAUGUGCAAAUACCUAUAUUUCUCAAAUACUUUGAGAGUAUAGCAGAUCAUCAAAGUGUGGAUUAGCAAUCCAGCAUCUUUGAUAAGAAUGUUUUGCAUAAACGAAGGCUGGUGAUUUAUGUUGAGUGUUGUGACUGUCAAAUUAUUAAUCUCCACUUUUGCUUGGCCUGCCUUUUCAGAAAAGAUAAACCAUCGUGCAAGCUACUGUAUGUAACUGCUGAAAGGAUUGUGGGAAACCCAUCAUUUCUUGAGAUAUUGUAACGCUUGCUUAGAAAGGGAUUGUUUCUGAUGCACCAUAACUUUUUCUGAUAGGUUCUUUGUAAAUUUAUUAUAUUCGACCAUCAUGCAUUGCAGGCACAACUAGCUGGUUUUGUUAUUGAUGAGUUACAUUACGUGAGGUAUGUGUAAUAUUUGGCAUGCCUUGUACAUGAAGAAAGAUCAUGCUAGAGUUACUUCAAAAGGAAUAAUUAUUUGUGAUGUUGCCACUGGAAAACUAUUGUCCUUGUUCCUGAUAAACAUAAGCAAGUUAACUUUUAUAGAUGCUAACUUAAAACUCUUUUUCCAAACUUUUCUGCAUUUUCUGGGUUUCUAGCCUAAUUAAAUUGAUAAUGUUAAACUAGACCUUCCGAAGCCCAGAACCCUAUAAAGUUCUAAUAUAACCGAAUGCAGUGUUCCUUGUUUGAUGAAAAGAUUUAGGUUCCAUUAUUUGGGAACACUUAGUGGCACAUCGUAUAUUAUAUUGAGUAAAGAGGACACAACUUAAUAAAACUGCAAUGGAAAGUACUUCCUAGAGUAAUUGGAUCCAGCAUAAGCUUGGAUAAAGAUCCAAUCUCCUCUUUAUGUUUGGCAGGACACUCAAUCUCUUGAGUUGGUUCUUGUAUCCCUAUUUAUUCCAUUAACGCUUAUAGUUUAUGUUAACAACUUGAGAAAGGUAAAGGUUCAACCAUGUGAUCAUUGAUUGUGCUUCUUAAAAUGUCUUAACUGGAUUUGCUCUGCUAGUUUGAUCUAAUGAAAGGAACGUACUGCUGAUUUGAGCUUUUCUUGAGCAUUUGACUGAUUAACAUUGAAAGCUCAUAAUUGUCACUUUUGUGGUUGUCAUUAAUGUAGUCUAUGGGUACAGGAUUUUCAUCCAGAUUACGGACUGGCAUGUCUCAAGCCUAACUUUGCAUAUGACCCAGUGCUGGCCUUAGCUGAAACUACCACUCACUCAGUUCGUGAGGUACUAAACUUAUAUAUUAACUUCCUCAUCAUUAUGUUGAAAUAAUUUGUUCAUUCUGAUUGAAUUAUUCAUCCAUUGCAGGAUAUCCUAAAAUCUCUUGGGAUUCCCCAUGCUCUUGUUCUUGAGACAAGCUUUGACAGACUAAAUCUAAAAUAUGAGGUCAUAGCCAAGACCAAGGAACCACUGAAGCAGCUCGGAUAGCUGCUAAAGAAUUGUUUUGCUAAUUUGUGUGGCAUAGUAUAUUGCCUUUCAAAGAGUGAAUGCGUUGAUGUCGCAAAAUACUUGAAUAAGAAGUGAUGUAUAAAGACAGUGUACUAUCAUGUUAGAUUACUAGCCCGCUAAAGGGUAGCUGUUCAAAAGAAAUGGCAAACUGAAGAGGUCCAAAUUGUAUGUUAUAAAAAGAAAUGGCAUACUAUCAUUCUCGUGUUAUUGACUAGCUAUAUUAUAAAUUAUAUAAUCAAUACAUUGACUUUACUAGCAACUUUUCUCAUGUUAUAUAUAAUCAGUAGGCUCAAAAUUAGAUUAUUUCGUGUUUGAUAUAUUUAACUAAUGUUUUGACUUGUUAGUGCGGCCCGCAUUACGUAUGAUUUAGUGCUUGAAUAUGCAAACUUGGCUUAACAAGUUAGUUAAAGUUUUGGUAAACAACGACUAAAUUUGAAUAUAUGAUUAUCUUGUGAGUAGCUUUUAACUACUAAAGUUCCACUGUUGUAAUGUAGUAUGAUGAAGAGGAACAUUUGACAGUACUGGCCCCAAAGACAAUGGUUCAAUUGAAAGUUGAAUGCAUGACCAAUGACUAUAAUUUGGUGUAGUAGAGUCCAAGUACUAACCAAGUAGACGACCGGCUUGGUCCAAACCAAAUGGAUAUAAAUUUCGGGAAGAUUUAACAUUUUCUUUAUCAGUCAACUAUAGCCAACACCAAAGAAAAUUUGGUUUCAAGUAUGAUAAUGUAUGGCUGUGUCUACACUGCUUUAUAGGCUCAUGCUUAAAGGAAUCAAGUUUGAGAUUAUACUAUCAAAGUGAUUGCAAAAUGCCAAUACAUGAACUUCCUAAAAUCCAAGAGCUGAAUGUACACUAACGAACACUUUUAUUUUGCGCUCAAAAUUCUUUCCAGUGAGAAACUAUUGUCUUUGUGGAACUUUUUACUGAAAAUCUUGCCUGNNNNNNNNNNNNNNNNNNNNNNNNNNNNNNNNNNNNNNNNNNNNNNNNNNNNNNNNNNNNNNNNNNNNNNNNNNNNNNNNNNNNNNNNNNNNNNNNNNNNGAUUGCAGCUUGAUCUACGCGAGAAGGAUAGGAUUUACUAAUUAUCAAUAAAUGGUGAUAUUUGAGAUCGGAGCAUCACAAUUUACAUCAUGAAAGAUAAGGUACAAAUGCACAAACAUCAUUUGCACCAAUUGCAGUUGGACCGUAAUGAACAGAGACUUCAUGAGCUGGCCGAUGAAAACGUAAACAACAGGCUUGGAAGAAGUAACAAUUAGCAACACUUUCCUUGUUUGUGUUUAGGAACAUAAUUGAUAUCAAUAAAAAUAUGUUGAAAGGUGAAAUGCUUAAACUACAUAAUAGAAAGAUAAAUUUAUUAUUUGGUUAUUUUGCAAUAUCAUAUUAGCAAAAUUAGCAAAACAGGAUAGUUUGCUAGGAGGUGAAUUUUAACUUUACAAAGUCAACGUCGCAUGAGAACUGACCUUAUCAAAUUAAAAAAUUCAGAAACCUAUAUGACAACAUUCAAAGGAUAGUAUCACAUUGAUGAACUGAUAGAAAUGAAGGAGAUUGUCCUCAUGCAUACUUGCAUACUUUUUCAGGUGCAAUUCCAUAGCUCAUAUAGUAUGAGCAAACAAGUUAUUUUUCCAUUGUUAUGGUACGACUAGUAGUGCAUACCUCCCUCUGCAGAGCCCUAUCAAGUUCCGGAAUGAUAACAUUAGAAUGCAACAGCAUUAAACAAACAUUUCUGCAUCAGGGUGACAUACAAAAAAAUCAGCAGCUACGUAUUGGAUUAACAGAGAGGUCGAACAUCAUGAACAUACAAAAAAAGACUCAACUCAAAAUACAACAUCAAAAUCAUUCGAGUAUGUGCUGUCGAGACCAGAUAAAGUGUACUAGAUCCUCACAAGCAUAAAAAAUUCCCCAAGUAACAUAGAGAAUCUCAAGUGAAGACAAGUCACCGAUUUCACCUGGAAUUGCUCUUUCAGAUAACAGCAUGAUGGGAAGCUUAUAGUGCACCAAUUUUUCAACCUUCCUAUAGCACUAGGAAGCUUUUCAAUACCAAAACCACUAAUGUCUAGAUGUUGCAAAUUCUGUAAAUCUCAAGUUGAGCAAGUGAUAUCUGUGAGCGACUCUCAACAGCUGGCACUCAGUUUCUCCAGCUUCCUCAGAGAACCGAUAGACAUAGGAAUCUCAGUAAUAUCAGCAAAAUCUAAUAUAAGUUCUAAUUUGAUAGAUUCACCUCCUUUCAGUUCUAACUCACGUACCCAUCCGCUCUUGGUCCAGUCCGUUGCCACAUUCUUCUUCCAUGAUCCUAAAUCUCCUGUGAAUCCUAAGAUCACCACACUCUCCCCAAUUUCAACUUGGCGAUCCAGCCGAACGCUAAGAUGCACCUUCUCCCAUCCCAGCUAUGAUAUGAUCUUCUUUGCUUUCUUCUCCUCUUCUCUGCAAUGAACACAUUAUUUCAUAGCUUCUACCAAUAGCCUCCUUCUUUGUCUAAACAACUUAAACAACAAUUUUCACUUGAACCACCGAUUCAUUGUUUGUCAUUUAACUCCACAUUCAAAGAGAAACCUCAAAUCAAGACGGUGUCAAAUAAUCCGUGCUGCUAGCUUUUAUUGCAAGAAGAACUCGAAAGAAAAACAAAAUAACUCUUUUUUCCUCACCGAUUCUUGUUCAAGUAAUAAACCCCACAUAAACUCCAUCCAUACUAGAGACUCAGACAAACCUUUGAUCGAGAAUUCCAUAAAACAACUCAAUACUUCACUCCAAACCCCAGUGCUUGAUCAGACUGACAUAAGUGCGCUAGAACAAAUCCAGAGAGAGAGAGAGAGAGACCUGGUUGUAGUGGUGAAAACACCACGAACAACCAUGAAGGAGCGACUCUGAGCUGCAUGUGUCACGCCCCGAUCCUCGGGAUCGCAUCCAUCCCUCUACUUGGUCGAUUUAUUAAUGCGAUACCCCAGGACUAUGUAUCGCCGACCCUUUUAUUUUUAUUUGCACAUGCGGAAGCAGUUAUAAAUCCCCAGACAAUAGAACAAUGGGAUAGAAAAGCAGGCCAUAUUUUUCAUAUUGAAAUUCACAACCACACUUUUAUACACACGCACCUCAUAGUAUCUUACAAUACUAUUAACAUAGGUCUAAUCUAACACCUAUCCACAAGUACACAAGGUUCACAUAACGGGAUGGGAUCUCAGUCCUCAUCUGGGUCAUACUCGGGAUCAUCAUCCCGAUCCUCUUGAGACUCUUCUUCACUAAGUUCGUUUUCUUCAAGCUCUUCAUCCUCUGCUGGCUCGUCAUCAGGGUCAUCCAAUAGAUAAUCCUCCUCCGGUCCCUCUACGGACCUGAAAUGGUUAUUCAAUAACCAAUGAGAUCACGUCUCAGCGAGUUGUACCCCCUAAGACCCGAUUAGUAAACCAAUACGCCAUAUGGUUGCCUAAGCACAACACAAGUCAGAUGACUUACCUUGGCCUCAUUUCCAACCUACAAUUCAAGGUUAAACACAGAUGCUUCAUAUAUCACAUCAAACAUUCAAUCAAUUCACGACAACAGAUCAAAUCACAUAUCAAUCGACUUGGUCGAUUACAUGUCAUUCGAACCACCUCUAGGUCAUUCCCACUCAUACCAUAAUUUCCCAAUGGUGUAUUCAUUCACCAAAUCACAUAUGUUUCUCGGGCGUCGUUUUCGCCAAUGACAUACCGAUCACCGAUACCGUGCGUUCUUUAAGGCGCCGUUUUCACUAGUGAUAUCCUCGAUCACCGAACCACGUGUCCUUUCUAGGGCGCCGUUUUCGCCAAUGUGACAUCGGCUAUCGACAACAUCGUGAGUUUUUUAAGACGUCGUUUUCACCAGUGAUAUUUCCUUAAUCAACGUGUGUCUAUAAGUCAUUUACGUGCGUUUUUUAAGGCGUCGUUUUCGCUAGUGAUACUUCUAAUCACCGAACCACGUAUGUCCAAUAACAUCGUACCUGAUUGGUCUCAGCCAAUAAUGUUCUCAGUUAGCUCUCACCAUUCUCCCUACUAUAUAGCCCAUCAACGUACUGGCGCUAUAUACCCAUGCUCGGCCAUUACCAAUCAAAUAUUCAAUAACAAACAAUUUAGGACAAUUCCUCAAAUUUCACAAUUUAAAUCAAUUCCAUAAAAAUUGAAGCUCAAUUAAAUAAACGGACUGCACCACGACAAUCGACACGAAAUUCCGGUCAACGGCCAUCCCGGUUGAAUUUCCGGAAAAAUAAUUAAUUAAAUAAUUAAUUUCGAAAAUUAAAUAAAUUAAAUAUUAAAAAUCCAAUUUAGGCCCGUAUUGCCUGAUUGGAGCCCGAAACGGGUCGGGAAAAAUCCCGAGAUGCAUUCAAUAAAUACUAGAGCAUUUCUACUCCCUAAUGGCUAUAGCUAACCACCUAACAUGCAUCCUUAAGUCACUAAUUUAAUUGUUCUAACCUAAUCUAACCACAUAAUUGCACUUAAUUAAAUUUAACCAACCCUAAGCAUAAUUAGCAAACUAAGAAAGUAUUAGUGAGUAAAACUCACUUGGCAAAAGCGGAGACCGAAUCACCGCGACGGCGACGCGACGGUGGCCGAAAUCGGGCUUUCAACAACAUCGGCAGGCUUGGACCGGGCCUUGACCUUGGCCAAACAAAUCUCAGCCCAACUGAGAUUUGUUCUUGCUUUUGGGCUGGACCCAAGUUGGGUUGGGCCUGCUGAAAUUCUAGGCUGAUUUCACUUGAGCUUCAAAUUUGUGGGCUGGACUUCAAUUGAUUGCUGGAAACUGGGCCUCAAAAAGACUGGGCUGAGUUAUUAGAUCUCUGGGCCGAAUUUGGACUGAAAUGGGCUGCUGGACCAACAAAUUUCGCUGGGCUUGAAAUUCAAUGGGUUGAAGACACUUGCUGGACUUGAAGACUUCAACUGGGCUGUUGCAAAUUAUUGGGCUGAGCUGCUGCAAAGAAGAUGGGCCGAAGACACUGGAAUCUGCUGGCUUUGCUGGGCCCGAAGACUGAAUUCUGUUGGGCCAAGGAAAUGCGUGAACUGCAGGUGACGAUGGUGAGCUGGCGGAGAAGAAGUCGUGGACUGCUGCUUCGUUCGAUGUUGCCCGCGUGAGGAGGAAGCGCGGGUCAACAGAGGCGUUCGGCUGGUUCGCUUGUUGACCAAGAGGCGGUAGGCCGUGGACAUGUGGCACUGCAACAGGGGAAUUGGUGGCGUCGGUGGCGUUGAAGAUGCUGAAGACGCGCGGCCAAGAAGAGAAACGUGGACUUCGCUGGGGUCUUCAAGUCGCUGAAGUCCACGGACGUGCGGCUUCUUCAGUGGAAGGAGAUGUUGACCGAGAUGUGGGCGUGCUGGCGUGGAGCUGAGGAAUCGCACGAAGAAGUUGCUGGAAUUUACUCGAUGAAAGACUCAAGCUGGGACUGACCGAACAAGAUGAAGACUUCACUGGGUUCGGUCAAUCGGCUUUGCGAUUGACUGACGAAGACGUGUGGAGAAGCUGGCGGAGAAGGACGUGUGGCGUGCGGACGUGAGGAGCUACAACAACUGGUGAGGCUUCGCUCGGUGGUCAACAAAUUGGAAGAAAACCUGCUGCUGUUGACUGAAGCAGCCCAUGUAGUCGGCAGGUGGCAGCUCGGUAGAUCUCACGGCUUCACGGCAAGCUGUUUCGAUGGAAAGAGAUGCGGCGUGCGUUCGUGGAUGACCGAGAAGAGGCAGAUGGAUUCGAGGCAGCUGGAGUUGAAUGGCGUGUUGGCAGCGUGAGAGAAGGCAUGGCAGCAGCUUGCAGGGAACUUGGUGGCCGACCAAAGAUGGUGCAAGCGAUAUUGCUUUCUUCGGCUGGGUCUUCGAACGUGCGGCAGGGGAGAGAGAUUGGAUGGGGGCUGUUUCGUGUGAAAGAAAAAUGAAAGCAGAGGCAGGAACAACGAGCGGAUGGGGGAGAAGGCGUGCGUGAGAAGCCGGCUGUGGGGCACAAAGUCAAUUAAAAUAUCUAUCCUCUUCAAUGCUUUGUCCCCCCUUAAGCUUUCAUGUUUAUCCCUUAUGUCCCCUAAUUCUUUCUUACUUAGAUAAUGCCACAAUUUAUAUCACCAAUUAAUCCAAAUUGAUGCCAAAUUUCCAGCCCUUUGCCAAGCUCCUAUUUUCUCAAAUUAAACUUCAAUUUCCUCACCGAACCUCCAAAUCAGUCUAAUUUCAAUGAAGAUAAAUCCCAUAAAAUUUUAUGUGGGUCCCCGACACCCAAAUGCUUGGCUUGACAAUCCAAACUCACUUCAAUUCUGUCCACACUAAUUUCUGUUAAUUUUCCGCGACGUCUGAACUAUUUUCCGUAAAAAUUUCGGAAUCUCCGAAAAAUCUUUUGAGACUGACUCGACGUUCCUAGAAUUUAUUGUGAAAUGACAUAAUUUUCAAUUUCUGAAAUCGGACUCGAAUUGGCGGUUAAUUUCCAUUCGACGCGUGUUUAGCGUAACCUAGGUUACCGGGUAACUUUCAGAAAUUUUUAAGUGUAAAUGACUCGUGGUCGAUUUUCUUCGAGCCACUAUGAACCCACUCGACUCAUUAGCGACUCUCGAUUGUCGUGAAAAUCUCGAGGAUUCAAAUACGAACACAAAGUCCCAAAACAAUAGGAAAAUCAGUCUAGUGCCGGUCGACGGGAAUUUUCCAAUUUAGUGGUGUCACCCACGAUUAGCCACACAUCUUAGUCGAACCAGCCUAUCUCUGAUUUCGAAUCGAUUUUAUAUUGUGCCGUAUUGACCUCUAAAGAUGAACACGGUCGAAAAGCCGAUUCCUGAUCGAAUUCUCAAGUCUAUUUACCUUAAGAUCCUUAAUGGCUUCCUCAAGUAGUCUAGUUAUCUCAAGAGUGAUCAGCUUUGAGAACAGCCCUAUAAGCGCGUCAAUGAAAUGCCCGAUUUAUUCAAUAGAAAACAUGGUUGAAAAUCUGGAAUGUCACAGCAUGAGCUCCAUGCAUCCACAUAAGAGAAUCUCGAAGGAGAGAAGUAAUGCUGCUCUUCAAGAAAAAAACCGGUCUCUUUACUUGGUUUUAGGUAUGAAAAUGCACAUGGCUGUGUCUCUUCUGCUUUUAUAUUCAUGCUUAAAUAAAUCAAGUUUGAGGUUAUAUGACCAAAAUGAUUGGAAGAUGCCUACAUAUGAAUUUUCGAUGUAACCAGACCAAACUGAUGAUUUUAUAAUGCCAAUAUUUUGGGUUCAAAAUUCUUCCAAAUGAGAAACUACCGUCUUCUUGGAAACAUUUUCAUUGAAACUUUUGGCUGCAGUUGACAGAUUAUUUUUUGAUUCCACGGCAUUUGCUUUUUCCACAAAAAAAGUCUCUCCCGGUCAUAAAACUGUAGCUUGAAGUGGACACCUAAAUGGUAAUCUUGUUAACAAAUCUCAUUUUAUGCUUGACUUCACAUAUAAAACCACCUGCACAUGCAGUCUUCCUCCAAGCAAUUUGUGAUGCAGCCUUUGCUAAAGAAUAGCACGAUUUCAACCUUGUAAAGGACUAAUACACCACAUGAGAAGAGGUUGCCUUAUAUCAAGAACCUUUGAAGAGUAUUAACAACAUGGAGCAAAUGACAAACGCCAAUGGCGAAGAACUUCAAAAUGCCUUUCUAUAAUGACAUAGUUCAUUCUUGCCCUUAUCUAAACCCCGUGGUGUUUGGGGACUUCCUCCGAAUUUCAUCAAAUGCAGCUUUAAUCUGCACAAGGAAGAUAGCACCAAGUAAUUAUCAAUAAAUGAAGAUGUCCAAGAUCGUAGCAUAAUAAAUUACCUCAUGAGAGAUUAAGGUACAAAUGCAUAAACAUCGACAUCAAUCAGAGUUGGACCACAAUGAAAGGAGACUUCAUUAGUUGGCCGAUGAAAACGAAACACACAGGCUUAAAAGAAGUAAGCAAUUAGCAACACUUUCUCUGUUUGUGUUUAGGAACAGAAUUGAAAUUAAUAAAAUUAUGCUGAAAAGGUGAAGUGCCUAAAUUACAGAACAGAAAGAUGCAUUUCCUACUUGGUUAUUUUGCAAGAUCCAAUUAGCAAAAUUAGCAAUACUAGAUCGUUUGCAAAGAGGUCAAUUUCAACUUUACAAAUCCAAUGCCACAUACAUGAGAACUGAGCUUGUCAAACCUAUAUAAUAACAUUAAGAGGAUAUCAUCACACAAAUAAACUGAUAGAAAUGGAGGAGCCUAGCAAUGCAUACCUCCCUCUGCAUAGCAUCAUCAAUUCCAUAGUGAUAUCAUUAGACUGCAACUGCAUCGAACAACUCUGCAUCAGGGUAACAUACAAAAAAUCAUCAACUUAGUUUUUGAUUAAAGGAGAGCUAGAACCUAAUGAGCAUACAUAAAGCAUAUUUAAUUGAAAAAAAAAUACAUUUACAAUCAUUUAGGGAUGUGACAUUGAGAUCAGAUCAAGUGUUUUGGAUCUUCACGAGUAUCAAAACUUCCUUAGGACACUCCAGUCAGCCCCAAAGCCUCUUCAAGUUUGGCACGCAAGAUGAUCCUUAGCAGUUGCUGAUGCUUCCUCUGCAAAACCCCUUUUGUUUAUUUUGAUCAGUCUCAAGUAUGGAAUUUGAAGUUCCUCAGCCAAGUGAGCCACGCCCAAAUCAGUCAUGUAAUAAAGCAAUUCCAUGGCAACAAUAGGAUCAAACGGUAUGCAAACUAAUUAGCAAAUUCUUGAGCCUUGAGCUCCUCAUCCUAGCUUGUUUCAUGACGGGCAAAACAUUGUUCAUUAAUGCAAAAGUCAUCAAUACAAUUAAUCGAACUGAACUCCCAAAGUAAGCCUUGAUCAUUACACAGACCAACCAAACUUGUCAUGGAAGCAGCACCAAUUUACCUUGCUUGAUAAUAUUCAAAACAAUAGUUUGACUACUAGUAAUGUUAAGGUGGUGUACAUUGAUAUAUGACAGACUAGCCAGAACUACUUUAACAUUUUUUUUUUUAAUCACAAACCAAAAACACUUGAUAUGUUUUAUUUUAGCUCACUUCAUCAUACUUAAUGGGAAUUGAUGCUAUUCUUAGAAGGUUCAAGAGGGACAUCAAGGGAACAAUAAGAAAUUUGACAGGGUUUCUGUUCAUCGUGGAAAACCAAUAUGUUUGUCUCAAACAAGACAUCUGCCAUUAGUCAAAUUUCACACAAAAGAACUCACAAAGUAACUCAAAAUGGCCAAGGAUCUUUUCAAGAAAUAUUAAUUCUGGACAGGGAAAUUCUGGGUGUAGUUUAUAAUAUUGAGUAGCAGAAGUUCAUCAGCCUCGAUUUGAAAAUUUCAAAUCCUAGGUUUACUUAUGGAAGAACUGUUAAAUCACUGGGGAAUUCUUGUUUACCUUUGCUUGAUAUUUUCAUCCUUGCCUNNNNNNNNNNNNNNNNNNNNNNNNNNNNNNNNNNNNNNNNNNNNNNNNNNNNNNNNNNNNNNNNNNNNNNNNNNNNNNNNNNNNNNNNNNNNNNNNNNNNNNNNNNNNNNNNNNNNNNNNNNNNNNNNNNNNNNNNNNNNNNNNNNNNNNNNNNNNNNNNNNNNNNNNNNNNNNNNNNNNNNNNNNNNNNNNNNNNNNNNNNNNNNNNNNNNNNNNNNNNNNNNNNNNNCUUACUAUGCCUUCUAUUGACAUUUGGGUCUAUAUUUUGAUCUUGGCUUAAGCAUCAUGUAUGACCAACUCCCCCAUUCCUUCAAUUAUGACAGAAUCUUGUCAUGGAAAACCUUCUUGUCAAAAGAAGAUGGGGAUGAAAAGUAGGUCAUGAAUCUCAGAAGAAAAAUGAUUGUUAACUGCUUAUUUACCUCUAUUGGGGAAACAUCACUCCAAAAGUCAAAAGACAGCUCUCGCUCAUAAUUUCUAAAGACGCGCGUUUCGGUAUUGCUUCCAAUGAGUCACAACCAGAAAUAUCCAAAUCAAUUAAAUCCAACUUUUCAAGUCCCCAAAGCUGAGGAGGUUUCUUGCUGUCUCAAACUCUUAGAGAUCCUAACUUCUCACAUCCUAUCAAAUCUAGAAAGUCUCUAUUGAUUUGCAUCCUGUAAAAUCCAAGUCUUCUAAGAACUUCGCACCAUCAAGACCUUGAAUUUCGACUAUAUUGUCGCACCCAACAGCCACUAAUUUCUUCAGACACCGUGAUUCUGGAUAGAGAAGCCUUUUAAUGGAAUUGCAAUCAUAUAUAAUUAUGACCUCCAAGAAUGCCAAAUUAUCAUGCCCUGAAUUUCAACUAGGCUAUCGCAAUGCUCAGCGUGCAAUCAUUUCAGAUGAAUCAAUCGUGAAAGGUUCAAUCUUUCAAUGGAACUACACUUUUCUAUGGAAAAUCUCGACAGAAGGCAAGUCACCAAUUUCACUUUUCAGACAACAACACGACGAGAUAUGUAGAGUCUGCAGAUUUUUCAGCCUUCCAAUCGCAUUGGGAAGCUUUUCAAUCGCAGAAAAACUCAAAUGAAGAUGUUGCAAAUUUUGUAAAUCCCCAAUUGAGCUAGGGAUUUCUCUCAGAGACUCACAACCAUAAGCGCUCGAUUUCUUCAACUUCCUCAGAGAACCAAUAGACGUGUUCAUGGUCAUCAAGUGAGAAAAAAAAAUCCUUCCCAUCCGAGAAAGGGGAGAGGCCGAGAUAGAGAGAGAUUGAGGACACGGAUGGACACGUGGUCGCCGAGCAACCGAUCCCAUGGAGUUGGCCAGAGUCUAGAGAUCAUGACGAUUCAAACUCUUAACCAAAACCAGAUGUACGUAGCCAAAUCCCGGCCUCGCAUGCUCGAACACACUUCACCCCCGCACAGACUAGACAACGCGAAGGAGUUGGCGAUAAAAGCAUCGUGGUGGAAUGAUCCGGAGAAGAAGAGGAAGAGGAGGGUGGCCAGAUACAAGCUUUAUUCGGUCGAGGGCAAGUUCAAGGCUUCUUUCAAACAAGGGUUCCGAUGGUUGAAGCGCAAAUGCUCGACCUUCGCACGUCGAUUCUAAUUAGCAGAAAUUACGGAAUACCGUGUCAUCGUCAUCAAGAGAGAAAAACGGUGAGAAAGAGGAAACAGAGAGAUUUGCUGUGCUCUUUGGGUGUUCAUCUUUAUAUGUAUCUAAUGGUGAUCAAAUAUUCAGAAGGGUGCUGCUAAUGUUCAAUCUUUCAGAUAUAAUGUUCAUCUGACUCAUUGUUUCAUUCAUUGCUCUCCAGCAUUCAAAACAUAGGCAAAUGAGACGACUCGGACGUGAUAGUAAUAUAUAUUUGUAUUUGCCGAUUUUUCUUGUUCUUUUUUGAAUUUUCUUACCUUCUAAUACAUUUGUAACAGGAUUCUGCAUCCAUGCCCAUGCAAAGUAGAAUUGUCUGAUUUGUUCAAUUCUCUUAUUUUCUGUAAGCUCUUUUCCUAAUAAAUGUGAUGCUGAUUGCAAAUGAGAUGACUCGUACAUGUAGGAUUGACAUUACCAUCUAUUUUGUGGUCGAUUUUGUUGGGUACAAUUUUGUUUUGGCCAAAUGUUGUUUACGCCUUGUUUCUGGGGUUCUUUAACCCCCUAAUUUCCUCUAUUUGUCUAGUUUGAUUCCUCUUUGUUGUACGAUUCAUCAUAUGGCAACAUAUAUUGCUGAAGUAGAUAUUCUAAAAUGACAUGCGCCGGUGCUAAACAAAACAAAAGGCUUUCGAUGGUUCCAUUUUGAUUUGAGGAUAAUUUUCAUAUUUCGAAUGCCAUCCUAUUGAGACCAGAGUUACGAAAAUGUGGAAAAUUGAAAAGCCCAAAGGGAACCUUCUUUAAUUCUAUCAAAACUUGCGUAGUUAUUGUUGAAAUGGUCGUAAUUUCAAGGAUCUUGAUGUAUAAUGUGAUAGAACUUUCAAAAAAAUGGUCAAAGCAAAUCUCUUGCAUGAAAUCGAAGGAGGAGAAGAUGAAAACCCAUAGCAGAACCGAACUGGUUCACCAGGUUUAACACCUUCAUCCAGUUAUCCAGUCGAUUCACAGUUUUCAAAUUUUAAAUCAAUUCAGCCGAUAUGGUUGUGACUAAAAUUCUAAAAGUAGUCAAAACACGUAGCCAUUGCCCUUUGGAAUAAUGGCUUAGACACUGGUUAAGCAAUUUAGUAAAUAAACUGUAGACUCAAUACAUCGACUUUACUUGUGAUUUUUCUUGUGAAAUGUUCAAUCAGUAUUCCGAAAAUUUAAUUAUUUCACAUUAAGUAUGUUUAACAAGUAUUUCAACACGCCCCACACUAUAUUUGUGUUAGUAAUUAUAGAUUUGAACUUGGCUUAAAAAGCUACUUGGCCUUACAAGCUACUUGGCCUUGUAUUGAGCUCUGGAAAAAUUGAGUAUAAGUUCAAGUAGACAAGCAGGGAAUCAGACAGAGUACCUUGCCAGUAGCUUUCAGCCUUUCAAUUACUAAAAUUCCACCAUUGUCAUCUAGUACACGGGUUCAGGAAUAUCAAAGAGUGACCUCAAAGAAAUUGCUUCGAUUGAGGCUUCAAUGCGUGACUGGUUAACACAAUUUGGUGUAGUAGAGUCUGAUUAUUAACCAAUAAGAUGACCCUUUUAAAGUUUUUUGUUCAAACCAAAUGAGUAAAUUUUGGGAAUGGCCCUUUUCACCUUUCCAAAAAUUUCCCACAUUUUUCGAUAGUCUUCAAUCGUAGCCUACGCCAGAGAAAAAUAGGUUUCAGAUAUGAAAAUGUACAUGGAUGCGGCUCUUCUGCUUUUAGAUUUUUUUUUUUUGGUAAGUUCUUCUGCUUCUAGAUUCAUGCUUAAAUAAAUCAAGUUUGAGAUUAUACUAUCAAAACGAUUGCAAAAUGCCUACAUAUGAUUUUUCAAUGUAACCAGACUAGGAAGAUGAUUUUACAUUGACGAGCGCUUUAUUUCAUGUUCAAAAUUCUUUCAAAUGAGAAAACUAUUGUCUUCUAGGAAACAUUAUCAUUGAAACUCUUGCCUGCAAUUGACAAAUUAUUUGCUAAUUCCAUGGCAUUUGCUUUUUCCACGACAAGAAUCUCUCCGCCACAAAAUUAUAGCUUGAAGUGGACAUCUAACUGGUAAUCUUGUUAGCAAAUCUCACUUUAUGCUUAACCUGCAAAUGCAUUCUUCCAGCAAGCAAUUUGUGAUUCGGCCUUUGCUAAAGAAUAUCACGAUGUCAAAGCUCCCCAAGGCCUAAUGCACCAUAUGAGAAGAGGUCGCCUCACAUCCAGAAUCCUUUGAAGAGUACUAACAACACAAACGCCAAAAGGAAAGAACUUCGGGAUGACUUUUCAGAAUGACAAAGCUCAUUCCUACUCGCAUCUCCAUCCCAUGGUGUUUGGGGACUUUCUCUGAGUUAAAUGAAUUGCAGCUUGAAUCUACACAAGCCAAAUAGCACUGACUAUAAUCAUUGGUAAUGAAAAAAACCAAGAUACGUAGCAUCACAAUUUACCUCAUCAAAGAUAAGGUACAAAUGCAUAAACAUCAUUUCACCGGUUGGACCACAAUGAACAGACGCUUCAUUAGGUGGCUGAUGAAAUAGAAAAGAACAGACUUGGAGAAGUAAGCAAUUAGCAAUACUUUCCAUGUUUGUGUUUAGGAACAGAAUUGAUGCUAACAGAAUGAUGUUGAAAAGGUGUGAGUGCCUAAACUACAGAACAGAGAGAUGUAUUUGUUACUUUGGUAUUUCACAAUAUCCUAUUAGCAAAAUCAGCAAUAGCGGAUAGUUUGCAAGGAGGUCAAUUUCAACUUUACAAAUCCAAUGCCACAUCCACAUGAGAGGUGAGCCUAUCAAAUCAGAAACCUACAUGAGAAUAUUUACGAGAUAUUAUCACACUAAUAAACUUAUAGAAAUGAAGGAGAUUGUCAUCAUGCAUACUUGCGUACUAAUUUCUGGUGAAAUUACAUAGCUCAUAUAGUCUAAGCACACAAGUAAGUCUUUCAUGGUACAACUAAGUAAGUCUUUCAUGGUACAACUAGCACUGCAUACCUCUCCCUUCAGAGCCUCAGCGAGUUGAGGAGUGAUAUAUUUAGAAUGCAACUUUAUCAAACAACUCUGCGACAUGGUAACAUACAAAAAGUCAGCAGCUACGUGUUUGAUUAACAGAGAGAUAGAACCUAAUAAGCAUACAGAAAGCAUAGUUAAUUGAAAAAAAUACAUUUACAAUCGUUCAGGUACGUACUGUUGAGACAUGAUCAAGUGUUCGAAUAUUCACAAGCAUCAAAACUUCCUCAGGACACUCCAGUUGGCCCCAGAGUGUCUUCAAGGUUGGCACAGAAAAUGGUCCUCAGCUGUUGUUAUGGAAUUUGAAGUUCCUCAGCCAAGUUAGAACUAGUAAUCAUGUUAACAAAUCUCAUUUUAUGCUUCAAUUCACAUAUAGAACCACCAGCACAUGCAGUCUUCCUGAAAGUGAUUUGUCAUUCAGCCUUUGCCAAAGGAGAGGACAAUGCCAAAGGUUGCACAGGACUAAAACACCACAUGAGAAGAGGUUGCUUUAUAUCAAGAAUCCUUUGAAGAGUAUUAACAACACAAAGCACAUGAUAAACGCCAUUAGCAAGGAAUUUCAGGAUGCAUUUCCAUAAUGACAUAGCUCAUUCCUGCAAUGUUUUGGGACUUUCUCCGGGUUUCAUGGAAUGUAGCUUCAAUCUACACAAGGAAGAUAGCACUGACUAAUUAUCAAUAAAUGAAGAUACCCGAGAUCCUAGCAUCACAAUUUACACCAUGAGAGAUAAGGUAUAGUUGCGUAAACAUCAUUGACACCAAUUGCAGUUGGACGACAAUGAACAGAGACUUCAUUAGCUGGCCAAUGAAAAAGAAACCAACAGGCUCAAAAGAAGUAAGCAAUUAGCAAAACUUUCCCUAUUUGUGUUUAGGAACAUAAUUGAAGUUAAUAAAAUUAUGUUGAAAAGGUGAAGUGCCUAAACUAUAGAACAGAAAGAUGUAUUUGCUACUUGGUUAUUUUGCAAGAUCCAAUUAGCAAAAUCAGCAAUACAGGAUAGUUUGUGAGGAGGUCAAUUUCAACUUUACAAAUCCAAUGCCACAUACAUGAGAGCUGAGCCUAUCAAAUCAUAAACCUAUCUGAGAACAUUUAGAGGAUAGUAUCACACUAGUAAACUGACAGGAAUGAGGAAAUUGUCAUCAUGCAUACUUGUGUCCUAAUUUCAAGUGAAAUUCCACAGCUCAUAGAGUAUCAGCACACAAGUUAGUCUUUCAUGGUACUACUAGCAGUGCAUACCUCCCCCUUCAGAGCCUCGUCAAGUUCAGGAGUGAUAUCAUUAGUUAGCGACUGCAUCAAGCAACUCUGCAUCAGGGUAACAUAUAAAAAGUCAGAAGCUAUGUGUUUGAUUAAUGGAGAGGUAGAACCUAAUGAGCAUACAUAAAGCCCAUUUAAUUAAAAUAAGUACAUUUACAAUUGUUCAGCUAUGUGUUGUUGAGACAAGAUCAAAUGUUUGAACAUUCACACAAAUCAAACCUUCCUUUGGACACUCCAGUUGCCCUUAGAACAUCUUCAAGGUUGGCACACAAGAUGAUCCUCAGCUGUUGCUGAUGCUUCCUCCGCAAAAUCCCUUUUCUUCAUUUUGAUUGGUCUCAAGUAUGGAAUUUGAAGUUCCUCAGCCAAGCUAGCCACACCCAAAUCAGAUGAUAAAACAAUUCCACGGCAGCAAUAGGAUCAAAUGCGAUGCAAACCAAUUAGCAAAUUCUUGAGCCCCUCAUCCCAGCUUGUUUCACAAACCGGGCAAAAAUUGUCUAAUUAUGCAAAAGGUCAUCCACAUGGUUGACUGAAUUGAAGUCCCAAAGUAAGUCUUGAUCAUUGCAUAGACCAACCAAACCUGUCAUAGAAGCAGCACAAGUUUACCUUGCUUGAUAAUAUUUCAAAACAAUAGUAUGGCUAUUGGUAAUGUUAAGGGGGUCUACAUUCAUAUAUGACAGACUAGCCAAAACAACUUUCAACAUUUUCUUUGUCACCAAACAGAAACACUUGAACCUUGAAUUUUAUUUUAUCUCAGUUCAUCAUAUUCCAAGAAGCAAUGCUCUUCUUAGAAGGUUAAUGAGGGACAUCAAGAGAACAAUAAGAAACUUGACAGGGGUUUCGUUCAUCAUAGAAAAUCAAAAGGUGUUUGUCCCAAACGGGAUAUCUGCCAUUAGUCAAAUUUGACAUACAAAAGAACUUACAAAGGAACUCAAAAUGGCCAAAGAUUUUUUUCAAAGAAAAUAUGAACAUUGGACAUUGGGAAAUUCUGGGUGUAGUAUACAAUAACGAGUAGUAGAAGUUCAUCAGCCUCUAGAUGAAAAUCUCAAAUCCCAGGUUUUUCGAUAAGGAAAAUGUUAAUUACUUGGUAAUUCCUGUUUAUCUUUGUUGGUAUUUAUAUUCUUGCCUCACAAGCUGCUAUAUGUUUGCAGCCUACAGAAGCUGGCAAUGGAAGAAUAAACAAAAAACAUUGCUAUAACGUAAUCAACAGCAAUUAUAGAGAGGCAAAUCCGGAGUUUCCAAAAUCAAUCAAAUAGAUACCCAUUGUAGAGCGAAUCAUUCUAAAAGUUUCUCUUUUUGCUCAUGCCGGCAUUUCAAGGAUGAAGAAUCUUACUAUGUCUUCUAUUGGGUCUACAUUUUGAUCUUGGCUGAAACAUCACGUCAGCUUCUGGCCAACUCCCCCACUCCUUCAAUAAUGUAAGACUAGCAAUUUAGACCCUGUCAUGGAAAGCCUUCUUGUCAGAAGAAGAUGGAGAUGUAAAGUUGGUCAUGGAUCUCAGAAGAAAAAUGAUUGUUCAUUGUUGAUGUACCUUUGUUGAAGAAACAUUACUCCUCUCACUGUUGUAAUACGGGUGUAAGAUUUAUUACAUCAUUAUCACCACAAGAUAAUGUUUCCAAAGAGAACUAAAACAUAAACCAGGGACCUAGUUCAUAAUUUCUGUUGACGUGCAUUCCAGAUAAGUUAGGUAUUGCUUCUAAUGAGUCACAACCAGAAAUAUCCAAAUAAAUUAAAUUCAACAUUUCAAGUCCCCGAAGCUGAGCAAGUUUCUUGCAGUCUCGAACAC
RNAcentral lists this long non-coding RNA (66633 nucleotides) under Eucalyptus grandis. RNAcentral describes it as "long non-coding RNA (EGRA_LNC000883)". The record is from RNAcentral. Lineage: Eukaryota; Viridiplantae; Streptophyta; Magnoliopsida; Myrtales; Myrtaceae.